Molecule: long non-coding RNA, 57732 nt
Filed under: Prunus persica (peach)
Lineage: Eukaryota; Viridiplantae; Streptophyta; Magnoliopsida; Rosales; Rosaceae
Description: long non-coding RNA (PPER_LNC005043)
Rfam family: tRNA (bases 15006-15076)
Source: RNAcentral
UCAAAUACAAUAUAACAAUUUGGUUCGAGUCGAUUUUGACCAAAAUCACGAAAGAAACUAAACCGAACCGAACCAAACCAUUUGAUUUGGUUUAGUUUGGUCGGUUUCAGCCUAUACGCAAUCUUUUUCCUUGUACAUUUUUUCAACAUUCUUAGCCCAAUUAGUACCCCAAAAAAAUUCGCAACAUGCUACCUAUUUCUUUUUCAUUUUCUAGCGUGUCAAACAUCCUAAAUUGAACAUGUCAUAAAACUUCAAAGUUCAAUAACUAAUAUAGCUACAAUUCAAUAACUAAUCAACGUGAAACCCUAGCCCUCUCCUGAAAAAAAAAAAAAAAAAAAAAAAAAAAAAAAAAAAAAAAAAAAAAAAACCUCUCUAGCCGCACUAACCUUGAGGGGGGAAGAGGUCACUGUUCCUCCUCCUCAUCCCAUCUCCUCUCUGCUUUGACACACAAAUCCCCUUCCCCUACUUUUCCCUCUCAUCUCCUUCCCAACCUUGUCCCCUCACCUCACUUCCUUCUUACUCUCUCUCUCUCUCUCUCUCUCUCUCUCUCUCUCUCUCUACAUGGUUGCCUUUGUUAGUUUUGUUUGGUUGUUUUGCAGAUCUCGGGUUCCAGCUCUUGAUUUACUUUGUGUGUUUUAGUUUUUAUCUGUAAUAAGUGCUUCAACUCUUUUUGAGUUUGUUGCGUGUUCAUAGUAUCUACUUGUAAUUUUUUACUUGUAAGAGUUUAAAGAUUAUAGUUUGCUGUUGUAGUUUUGUGCAUUGUGGUCUAUGCCUGACUUUUGCAGGCUUGCGACUUUUAUGUCGGAAUUUCUUUGGCCCUCUAUCGCUCUUUGUGGAGGUACACUUGUGCGCAUGAUGUUUCCGGUGGAGUCCUCUGUAUUUAAAUUAACCCCUUGUGGUUAUUGAGCUUCCGUAUUUAUAAUAACCUUAAGUGGUUAUUUGUAUUUGUACUGGCUCUUAUGGUUGGCCUUUGUGCCUUAAUUAUAGAUGCAAUCUAUCGUUUUUAUUUGAAAAAUAUCAAUAACUUCAAGGUUCCAACAAACUUCAAAUUCAACAUCCAUAUGUAAAUAUUAUCCAAUUAGAUGACUUCACAUGUAUAAUAAAAUAAAUAUAUAUAUACACACACACACACACACAAGUAGGCAAUCGAGUUCAGUUUAGGCCGGUUUGCAGCAAAAGUUCAAAACCAAAUUAUUUAUAGUCCGAUUUAUUUUUUAAACCGUUAAAUUUUUUCUUGAUUAAAACCAAACCAAACCGAUAAUUAUAAUUUAAAUAAAACGGUUUAAUCGAUUUGACCGGAUUGAUUCCCACCACUAUCAUAAAUAUAAGAUAAAAAUAUACUUAAUUACACGUAACCCCAUCCUUCAUUAUUGUGCAGCAUAUCAUUAUCCCACGUUUGAGAAAAAUCAGCCCCGAUUGCCAGAAAUAUCAAAGGCAUCUAGAUCCUAGAGGAUGAUAUUUAAAGUUUAAACAAAUAUUCUACAAUACAUGUAGAAGAAAUACCCACUUGAGCUAGUAACACAACAGCAUAAGCUCUUUUCCGUUGGAUAUCUUACAUUCUAGAUCACUUAUCCCACCAUUCCAAAAUUCUUCGUUAUUGUUCACUAGAAACAUUGACUUCCCUAGUUUGCUGGAUUUUCUCUCUCUUUUCAUUCUUCCUAACACGAUUUUCUUCUCCCUUCAUAAAACUAUAUGUACGCUGUCUCACCCUCUAUGAUCACAUCAACAUCAUAUUGCCAACUUUCUUUAUCAACAUAAUGUUUCCAAGUUGAUCAAAUAAUAGGACUAAAUUGUUCGGGUUGAAUGGUUUGAUCAGAUUGACCCAAAAUUGUACCCACCCCCACCUUCCACUCCAGAUCUAGAUUUUUUCUAUUUCUUAUUCUUCUACUCAUCUAAGCCCCUUCUUCUAGCUCCAUGCACUCACCCAUAACCUACCUAGCUGCCAUUUACCAUGCAUUGCUGUGCUAUUUAAGACUCUACCUUUCUUCAUCUGAAGAGGUCGAGAGUAAAUGAACAACACAUUUUGAAAAUCUAGCAAAAAGUACAAAAAUGCAAAUUCACCAAUAACCAGUUUUCUCCCAACCAUGUUUAUUAGCUUUUGUCCCUUCAUUUCAAAACCACAACACAACAGAGUCAUGCAUGUCAAUAGGUCAAAACAAGACAGCUUUUAAUAACUUGGCACACCAAAGAAUUUGGUUAGUUUACUUUUCUAACUAUAGCAUGAUGAAAUUCUUACAUACAACUGGUGUAUACUAACUAUUCAAAGUAUUAUCGUUAUAUUUAAAUUCAUAAGUCUCUGAUAUUAUCUAAUUAAUUUAAAAAAUCUCGAACUUAAUAAAGUCAUACAAAUAUUAAUUUAAAAGAUCUCGAAGAUCUCAAACUUUAUAGAAUCAUACAAAUGUUCCUCUCGCGAUAAUUAAUCAUGUGACAAUUACAUAAAAGGAUGAAUGGAAGAGAGGUGUUGCAUGCGCACCUCACCUCAUAUGCAAGAAUUUUUCCGAGUAGAGUAAUCAAGAAAUUAAUGAGAAAUGAACACGUUGCGUUGCCACCUUGAUUGUGUGAGUUGGUGAAUUACUUGAAACAUCUCUGUCCACCAUCUCCCUGUCUCAUCACAGCAUAAGUACAUUUCAAUAACAUGUAUUUGACAACUAACUAUAAGCCUCUAUUGACUUUCCCACAAGUUCAAAAAUCUCAUGUCAUAAAUAUCUCUGACUUUCAAUGCGUUCAAAACUAUGCGAAAAUGUUGACUUUGAAUAAGUAAGCAGUGGACAUGUGUCCGUCGUGUCGCUUUUGAUGUCGUGGAUGAUGGAACUGGGAAAAUGAUAAGUCCAUUUUUGUGGAUAUGAUUGUAGUCUAGUUUCCUAAUUACGUCUGAAUGUUUGUUGUUCCAAAAUUGAAAAUACAUGCAUGGUGGAAAAUUCUAGCUAGGAAAGGGAACCCUCUUGGUUUUCGUUUCCCACUCUUCAAAUUCUUGGUUCAGUUGAUGACUUUACUUGAUGAAUAUUUGCUUUUGCUCCAUGUCCUUCUCUCUAGAGCGCUGAAGUAGAAAAAAAAUGGAUACAAGACCGCGAUAUGUUCAACUUUGGAAGGCUAGGUUUUUGGUGAGUUUGAAUUUAGGGGAAGAGAUUAAGAAAAGAAGACAGAGAUUUUGGAGUGAGGAAGUGGGAAUUGUGGAAAUGAGCUUUCAUUGAAUAUAGGCGAUUCCGAAUCCGACAAAUAGGAUGGAGACAAGAAGAGAACGAAACCUCCUAAAUCUACUUCAGAAAAAUUAAAUGAAUAGAGUCACCAAUGAGGCACUACUGCUAUGCGAUGACGUAUUUAGAUUAAAGGAAUGCAAAUAUGAGAUCAUUGAGUUUGUAUCAAAAUACAAAUUUUCAUUAAGUUUAUUUUAAAAUACAAAUAUUUGAUAUUGCGUAGUCAUUUAUCCAAUGUGAGAUAAUUCAGGAGAUAGUUUAUACAAUACCUAAGAAGAUGAUCAUAGGAAGAGCCACCUUGAAGUACAUAAUAAAAUGGAUCGAAACUCAUCCAAACUUAGCUUUAGACAAUCAACCAAGCGACAGUGAGGUACUGGCAGACAAUUUUUGUUUUGCUACCAACAUCUUUAAAGUAACUUAUUUUAUUUGUAACGUUCUAAUUUUAUCGGAUAUUUAAAAAUGCUUCCAUUUUUAUUUUUUAUAAAAAAAAUUCAAAAUAAUGAUCCUAAAGGACAGGGGAAAAACAAAGGUGACCUACUCUCAAUCAUGAUUGAUGCCAACUAUUGAUUUAUAGUUGUUUAGUAUUUUUAGUUGGGCGAAUGGUGAAUGCAUGUACAGAAAACAUAAACUGGUUUUCCUUUGGCAUACUCAUUUUUAAAUGUUUGAGAGGAAUAUUGCAUGAACUUGGCCUCUUUUUCUGAGCUCAAAGUCAGUUAUGGGCACAUACUAGAUUAAAAAACCAAUCCGCAUUCAAAAGUUGUUCUGAUAGCAAACUUGAAAGAGGGUAAGGCAAUACCUAGUUAAAGUCCAAAAAAUAAUACAGUUGACAUUGCCUAGUACCCUACCCAAUGAUCAAGAAUGUCUUUCCAGGCCAUAGAGGAUUUGUUUUUUUUCCUUUUUUUCUUUUUUGAGUAAGAAAAGAAAGUAGAGCUUCUAAAAUAUUUAGUUCUCUGCAAGGGACUCAAGCAAUUAAGAUCAGUUACCCUUGCAAUUAAGGUCUUGGGUUCAGCCUCUAGGGUUCUAAUAGGUAUAGGAUAUAGGUUUUUUUGUUCUUUCCCUUGUUUCUUUUUGUACUUUUGGUUACUAAGGAGGUAGGAAGGGAAAGGGAGCCUGGUGUUAUAUAUGCUCUCCACCAUUUAAACUAAACCCCCAUUAAGCAUUAGAAUUUAAUCAAAUAGUUUCCAAAUGACCCCUUUUUCCUUUUUUCUUCCUCGUUCAUUUUAUAUAUUUUGCUCUAUUUGUGCACAUUGCUUAGAGAUGCACAAGGCUUGGGCUUGGAUAAGGUUUUGAGAAUGCUUGCAGACAGCCCAAAAGGCAUAUUUGCUUUAGGACCAGGCAGGCAAGAUCGAGUAAAAUUGUACACCAGUAUUAACUCUAAAACAAAAACGAAAAAACAUUGUAAGAUGGUAUGUCAUUCACCCAAAUCUCAAAGCCAUCUUAUUUUAGUUGAACAUAGCUUGUUUAGUUGUUAUUUUUGGAUGUGGUAACAAUUUAUUUCUUAUAAUCAAAGGGCCGUAUGCUGUGGUAAAUGUUGUUCUGUCUUUUUUUCAUUUUUUUUAAUACAGACAAUAGUCUAAACUACAGAAAUAGGAAUUUCACACACACAUACACACAACCUCUGAUAUGUAAGUCAAAACCCUUUUUUAUUGGGCUAGACCCCGUUGGCAACGUUGUUCUAUCUUAAUUUGGUUGCUUGUGGGCACAUUUCAACGUUGCCAACUUUCACUUGAUCUGUUUGUGGGGUGUUCGGUGUUUGCAUCUUUCUUUCUACUUUGUAAUUUCUUUCCAUUGAAGAACAUGCUCUGAGCAAAUAUGCCUGUGUUCCAGUCAGUUCAAGGAAUGAAAGUUGUGUGUCAUGAGCUGGUACAGUCGACCGAUGAUCCGCAACGCAGUGCUAGAGAUGAGUUAGUGAGGGAUGCAGAUAGACUUGUUUCUCGCUUAGCAGAUAAGGUAGCCAAGACUUUUGAGUUCAGUUUGACAGGAGCUUCAUCUAGGUCUUGUAAAUACGUCCUGAAACACUCUUAUGCAGAAAUUUCAAAAUAAUUACUAACACUAACAUAAAAUCAAUAGGGCAUAUUUAACAGCAAUUCAUUUUGCAGAAAAAGAACAGAAAAUAUUGAUCCAAUUUCAAAAACCUUGAGAGCUACAAUAGCCUCUAUACACAUACUUGAGACCUAUAUUACAAGUUAGCACCUGAGGAUUCUGAUUACGCGACGAGUAAAACCCAAAUGAAGAUUCAAUCCUCAAGCCAAAAACACAUGGAAUCAAUAGGCUUAAACCACCAGAGGAAUUUACCUCAAUAUACUAACCGCUGUCAUGGAUCAUGGAUUAUCUGUUGUACAUUCCAUACCUUACACUCACACUCCUCAACUGCAAAAGAUUUUAUACCAUUUAAACAGCUGCAAGAUUGUUAUGGACAUAGUAAAACGCCUGACACAUCUAGCCUUUCUUUCUUUAAAAGUUCUACACAUCUAACCUUCACUGUAGACCUGGAUAAUUGGUCAUAGUUAUGGACAUAAUAAAAUGCCUCACUACAUGGAAAUGCAUUGCUAAUUUGUUAUCAAAAUCAAAAAAUUUAAUAACUCAUAUUCAUAUUUACCUUUACAAUGCUCUUGUAUCAUUCACACUUUGUAGUAACAUUGUACUGCUUGAGUGCUUCUGAAGUUUCUAAGAUUUUCUUACAGAAAGCAGGACUUUUUAUCUAAGAUUUUCUAAGAUAUCUUUGGUACAAAUUGUGUACAAAUCGUUGAAAUUAAAUUAUUUUUUUUUAAACACUUCUAAUAUAAUAUAUUAUGCAACCUGGAGUUAGUGAACAUAUGCAUCAAAAUGUUCUUAAAUCAACCGCCUCGUUUUAGCCUCUUUAUUCUCUCAAGGGCGCCAAGGUGGGUGUCACCAUCCUUGGUCGCAGCAGCAACAUCUCCACCCUCAUCUUUUUCAGCCUCCUUUCUCUUGUUAGCCAACUCUCCAAAAACAGCAGAUGGGACCUCCUUUAGUGCAAUUUCAACCAUUUCAUCAUCUUCUGAAUCACUUUCUUCCAGUAGCUUAAUUUCUUCAUGAAUUGCAGUAACUUUGAUCUCUUUGUCCAUCUGUGAUUCUACUCCAGCACUCACAAAGCCCACUUUUCUGUUACUAUCUUUGGUGGUAGUGUCUUUAGCCACAGGUGCCAACUGCCUCUCUAAAGCAGCCAUUUCAUCUUCAGGGACUCCAGCCUGUUUCAACUUGUGUUUUGCCUCAUCAAUGUUCAACCUCUGAUCCUUUUGCAUCAUAUACUCGGGUAGAAUAAAGUGUGUCUGGCUAUAGCUUGCAGAAACACUUCGCUUAAUUUGAAGCAUCUCUCGGAAGGUAUCUUCAUUUCCAUGUUGCACCUCAAACUCAUGCCAUUUGUUCCAGAAAUCUACAUCAGAUCGUGGAUCCGAAAACUGUGAUGCAAAUAUAUAUACUCCCCGAGCACGAUCAAUUUCUCCCAAGCUCUUCUCAAGCUCAGUAUACUUCAAACACAUUGUCUUCACAUCUUUGUCUGGAAGACCGGAUUUUAUUGCUUGCUCAUAUAUUUCCCUUGUUUUGGGGAUGCCAAAUAUUUCUGCAGCACGGGCAAUGUACAUUUCAUACAUGCUCAAUUUAUCAUGGUUUGGAACAGCCUUAGUUGCUUCAUCAUAGAUCUUCAUAGCGCGCUUUGCUAGACCAUAAUCCUCCUCCAGAUUUGCAAAUUGAAGAUACAAAGGUUUCUUUGCAUCAGCAGGCGCUGCUUGAACAGCAUCCUCAAAUAGCUGUCUUGCACGUUCCAGUUCUUUCUUCCCAUAUCUCUUUACAAAUUUAGAGAGAUAUGUAACCCAUAUGUCUUUGACAUGUGGGUACUUAAAUAUUUUGGUACCUUUUUCAUACACCUUGAACGCAUCUUCAAAGUAUUUAUGCUUCUCCAGAAGCAAUGCAUAAUUGAUUAUGAUUUGUGGUGUGGCUAUCUUCAAAUCCAUUAUCCUCUCAUAAACAGCCCGGGUGGACUCCAAUUUACCAAGGCUCUCCUCUAAAUCCACGUAAAAAGUCCACAUUCUCAAGGACUUUUGCAGCUUCAUCUGAACCGGUUGGUUACCAUCAGCCGCCACUCUGCGUUUCACCUCAACGGAUGGCUCUGCGGUGGCCAGCCUCAUUAGUUCCAGUGCUCCUUUGAAAUUCUUAUGCCUCAAUUCCAUUUCUGCCCACUCACACCAAAGACUAGCCAAAUAAUCCACUGUCUUGUAGUUCACCUGAACUGCUUUAUCAAAAAUCACUCUUGCAUUUGCAAUAUCUUUGUGAUUCUCGUACAACUUAGCAAACGCAACCCACAACGUAUGAGGCUUUCCCACUGCUUUCAUUGGAUCAACCGUCCUCACAGCCUCUGUGUAAGUAAGUAUCUGCUUUGUGGGAUUACCCUCAAAGAGCUUCACUCUUUGGUGCCACUGCUCUACAUUAUGGGGAUUUUGUCGUAAAAGAACACUAUUAGCCAGUAUAGGACUUCUAUCCAUAAGAUGCUCCAAUCGAGCCAACCUCAAAUCUACGUCCUUAUCAUCAUGUAACCAAAACCCAUUAAGCAUUUCCUUCUCAAGCUCAGCCACAGACAAGUUAACAUCCAAUCGAAGAUCAACUUCCUCCUCAUUUCCAUCCUCUUCUACCCCAUUUUCUUCUUCCUCCUCUUCAUCACUCAAAUCCGCAGUCUCCAUCUUAUGGAUAAGCAUGCUAUCUUCAAACCCAACAUACGAAUCGAAAAUUACACUAAAAUCUCUUACCGUUACCACAGUAGUCAUACCCUCCUCAAAUAUAUCCCUAGCUUUCUCGUGCAAAUUCCUCCUAAUGUAAUAGUCAGCAAGUGAGGUCCACAACCGUCCCACCUCGUCUGUAAAUUUCCUAAUCCCACCUCUAAUAAUAGCAUCUACAUUGAGGCCUGACACCUCCUUAGCGUGCUUAGCAAGCAAAUCACACAAUUCCAACCACAGCCUAUGUUUCGUUUUCCCCUUUAUCGAAUAGAACUGGUCAUCAUUCAACACUGAAGCCAGCCUCUCGGCAGCCUCUUGCCAAAGACUAGAAUUUAUCAAGAACUCAAUGAAUUUUUCAAUAUGGGUAGGGUCAUAUUUCAAAUACCUGCGAUAAAGCCGAAGCGAGGUCUCAAUUGGAAUACCCUUUCGGCUCACGAACUCCAGGUACGGGUCCCAAAUGCCGUCGUGCUGCGUCACUGGAAGAGCACACAGCGCUCUGUCGAAGGUCCGGCGAGUCCGAGUGAACAACUUCUGCUCCGUCAAAGUUUGCAAGUACCGAAUCCAAAUUUUGGGCAUUUUGUGCAUAGUAACCAGGGCUCUUUCAAAAGUGUUGUUGAGGGUUUCAUACUGGAAGUGAGUGAUGGGUAAAUUGCGAACGAGCUCGAGGCGUUCGUGAAGGUAAGCGGACCAAAGCUUGUAGCUCCCAGGAAGGGCCUUGAGUGCUCGCUCGUAGAUUAUAAAACGCUUCUUGAAUGGAGAUUCGGAUCGAGCGAUUAGGUAACGCCACCAUACCUUCAGGCUAAAGGGGUUUCGGAGAAGCUCUUCUUCGUAAAGAAGGUCGUCUUGGGAUGGGUAAAGCUCUUGAGAGAUCGACAUAUGAAGUUGAAUAAUCGGGAAUUUUCUAUGUAUUCGGAGGCCAUAUAUAUAAUACACUCCUCCUAAGCCAAGUCAAAAUAUAAUUCCUAAUUCUAAUUAGGGUAGGAAAUUAAAAGUAGAUAGAUAAAUUACAGUCAAUUUGGGAAAGUAAGGUCAACUCAAAGCUAAACUCUCUUUUCAAGUUGGUGCAUAGAUGUCUCUAAUGCUCAACUUGUCUAUAAGGCUCGUACUAAUUGGAAAAUAUGUGUUGCACUUGCAAGUAAUUAAGAGGUCCAGAAUAAGCAAGUUAGGAUGUGAAUUUAUUUAUUCAAAUAAGUGGUAUUUUUAGUCAAUUUGAAAUACUUAUAUAUGUAAUUUUAAAAAAUAAAUUUGAACUAAUGUGAAACUUGUACAUUAACCCAGACAUGAGCAUAGCUCUUGAGGCUGCAUUUGUUUUCUCUACUAAUUUGAAAGAUAUGAUUUCAACUAUAUAGAGCCUAAUUUUCACCAUAGGGUAUCAAAUGGACAAAUCUCAUCCAGGCAAUCAACUAGGUACUAGCAGACAAGUUUUGUUUUUGCUACCAGCAUCUUCAAUGUAAAUUAUUUGUUUUGUAUCGUUCUAAUUUUAUCGGAUGCUUUUAAUUUUUAUUUUUUUUAAGAAAUUUAAAAUAUAAUGAUCCUAAAGGACAGGGAAAAAAGUAAGGUGACCUAAUCUUAAUCAUGAUUGAUGUCAACUAUUGGUUUAUUCUGUUUAGUCUUUUUGGUUGGGAGAAUGGUGAAUUCAUGCACAUAAAACAUAAACUAGUUUUCCUUCGGCAUGGUCAUUUUCAAAUGGAGGAAUGUUGCAUGAACCGGGCCUCUUUUUCUGAGCUCAAAGUCUAUGGGUAAAUAGUAGAUUUAAAAACCAAUCCACAUUCAAAAGUGCAGAGUAAAAAUUAGAGUUGCCAUUGCCUAUCUACUAAUAGGUAGAAAGGAUAUUAGGUUUAUUUAUUUAUUUUUCUUUUGGUAACUAAUGAGGUAGGAAGGGAAAGGGAGCCUGGUGGUAUAUAAUAUAUAUGCUCUCUACCAUUUAAAAUCUCCAGAAAAUAUUAGAAUUUAAUUCAAUAGUUUCUAAUUACCUUUUUUUUUUCCCCCUUUUUUCCUUGUUCAUUUUUUCAUAUUUUGCUCUAUUUAUGAACAUUGCUUAGAGAUGCAGAAGGCUUUGGUUUGAUUAAGGUUCCCAGAAUGCUUGCAGGCAUCCCAAAAGGCAUGUUUUCUUUAGGACCAGGUAUGAUCGAUUACAAUUGAUCACAACUAGUAUAACUAUAUAAAAAAAACAGUCAGAUGGUAUGUCAAUCACCCAAAUCUUAAAGCCAUCUUGUGGAAAUAGUUACUAUAACAAUACCAUAAAAAACAGUAGGGCAUAUUUAACAGCAAUUCAUUUUGCAGAAAAAGCACAGAAAACAUUGAUCCAAUUUCAAAAACUUUGAGAGCUACAAUCGCUUCUAUACACACACUUGAGACCUACAUUACAAGUAGCACCUGAGGAUUCUGAUUACGCGACGAGUACAAGCCAAAUGAAGAUUCAAUCCUCAAGCCAAAAACACAUGGAAUCAAUAGGCUUAAUCCACCGGAGGAAUUUACCUCAAUACACUACAUGGAUCAUGGAUUAUGGAGGCUGUUGCUGUUGUACAUUCCAUACAUUACACUCCCACUUCUCAACUGCAAAAUAUUUUAUACCAUUCAAACAGCUGCAAGAUUGUUAUUGGGGGUGGAGGUUGGCAAAAAGAGAUGAUGAAGAAAUAAAGUGUACCCGCUCAACAGCAUUUGCCAUGCCCGACACAUCUAGCCUUUCUUUCUUUAAAAGCUCUACACGAUCCCGAAGACACUGAUUCUGUUCUUCAGCCUACAUUUGGGGAGGAAAAAAAUUAAAAAAAAUUAAAAAAUUAAAAAAGAAAAAGAAGAAGCAAACACUCGUAUUACGUUACAAUUAAAUAAACGUUCCUUUUAAAAUGUGAGAGAAUAAAUUCAAUGAGAUAAUGCAUGCUUUGGAAGUGAAGGAAUUUGUCUGGAGAGGAUUUCACAUCAACAAUAAACCAGAUGUGUGUGCGCAGUUGUGAGAGAGAGAGAUGUUCAAAUUUGAUUAACCAUCAACCCCAUAAAAAGUUUCUGGACAGCCAAACGAGUAGAAACUAGGAAAAGUUACCAUACUACAAGCUAAGGGGAAAACAUCAGUGAAUCAAUGCUCUUCAAUUAAAAACCCAUGCACUAAUUGACAGACCUUUAAGGAUGGUCUAACUGCAGAAGUUAACAGUGUCAGAAAGUUAGGGGAAAUACAACACAGGUAUCAAUGUAACAGCAUCUUUGACCUAAGUGGCCAAGUACUACAUCAUCUGAGGAUAUGUAUGCAUACACUCGUGUAAACAAUUUCACAUCUUAGACUAAUAUCAUUGAAACAAUAAAGCUUAAAAGGGUCGACCUUGUAUUGGCUGGCUCCUUUUUAAUUUCAGACCGCCCACAGCUUUGAGUACCCAGUACAUAUUGUUUAUCAACUUACCAGAACACUUUUUCCCAGUAAGAAUUUCUUCCAUGCGUAUCCCAGCUACAUACUUGUUUUAUGCACAAAUGAUAGGGUGAAAACCCUUGACUAGUAAAAGUGCUUGGUAACUGUUCCACAGGGCAUAUCCUAUUACCUGGGAUUUAAUCUCGCCUUUAUAGGAUUUGGGGUUUUACUCAGUGUCGGCUGAUAUGCCCAGUGGAACUCCAAUUGAUCUCAAUGAACCAGACAGAUGUGAGACCCUAGCACUCUUGAAUUCUAGAACACAAUAUAUAUACUCAGUGUGUGUAUAAAUGUUGGACAAUUCCCUGUGUCGACUGAUAUGCCCAGUGGAACUCCAAUUGAUCUCAAUGAACCAGACAGAUGUGAGACCCUAGUACUCUUGAAUUCUAGAACACAAUAUAUAUACUCAGUGUGUGUAUAAAUGUUGGACAAUUCCCUAAAAACUAGAUGAUAUCAUCUCUACCAAGCAGCUUUUAAUUGGAGUUUAAGUUUGAAUAUAUCUACCGUUUCCAGCAUCUUUGUCAAGUACUGGAUUUGAUCCUUCUUCAUUGUGGACAGAUCAUGAGCAACAUCCAUUACAUUAGUCCUGCAUGAAUACACAUGUUUAAACAAUGAAGUUUACACUAAUAGGCACUGUAAGAGAUAAUAUGAAAUGUAACUAUAUAGAUUAAGAUGGAUACUAUCAAGAUAAGGCUCCCUUCCACCAUAGUACCAAAACAAAAGUGGAUAAGACCACCUCUUGGACGGUUUUCAGGCACUGUUAGAGUAGUGGGGGCAAUUGGGGAGGUGGGGGGAUGUAUGUACAGAACCUCUACAACUUCAACAAUGGAAGUAAACACAAGGGCCUUUAUUAUACACUCUUGUAAGCUUCAUUAGUUACCAAAGCAAAUGAACACUAGCCUAAACAAAAGGGCCUUUAUUAUACACUCUUGUCUUCCCCCUUGCAUUCAUAUGUUCUGCAUGAACAUAUGUAUCUUGUACUUACCAUUCUAUUGAAACAUGAUGGCAUGUGUUGCAUUACAUUUAGGAUGAGUUAUGAAUCUUGGCAAUUUUAACAGUCAACCAACACUCAGUUUCUUUUUCUUUUAUAUUUUUUUUUUUUGGUCCAAGGAAAGGAGUUACUAAAAGGCCAUAUAUUCAUUUUGUCAAGAAAUCAAGAAAAUACUUACUUAUCUGAAAACAAACGAUCCAGAGCUUGUUCUUCCACAAGUUGUUCAACAGUAUCAAGAGCAGUUCCCACCUGCAAGCAGAGAGAGACUAUACAUAACAAGAAAAUAUAUUGGAUGCAAAGAAUAAAUAAAACGAUGAUGUAUAAUAUAUAAUGUAUAUUAGAAGUUAGAACCAAGAGGAUCUUGAACUAAUAGUUAGGUAAAAAAGAAAAAAAAAACAUCGGAGCAGGGUUAGUUUGCUUAUUAAUUCUAUUUGUAAACUGUAUACAAGCAUGCAAGGCACAUCAUACAGCCAUAAAUGCUAUCGUUUUCACUCAGCAGUAAUCAUCUGAAGAUUCCAUCUGUUAGACAUGUGAUUCCUUUAGGAUUGUAAUAAUGUCUAAAUCAGUAAGAACCAGAGGUACUUCUUGUUGCCUGCAUAAAACAUGAAUGAGUUGGGUCUUAGGAAUCAUCAUUAGCCACCACUAGUUCCCUCUCGUCAUGGAACCUCUAAUUGAAUCAACUAUUACUCCAUUUUCGGAAAUUACUUAAAAACAUAAAUGAUCGAAAAAAUGUCAUCAUUUCACUGGACAUGGGUAUGAGCCUAUUUAUACACGAGGCUUCAAAUUACACAACACAAGGGCCCAGCAUAUGCAUGUUGACACAAAUUACUAAAUGUUUCUUUGAAAACUAAUAAAAUUCUAAAACUUAUCCCAUGUUUUUCCUAAUCAUGGUAAAUCCUACUUCUAUCCUUUCAGUCCUUGGUAUUCCUCUUUUUACUAAAAUUUUCAUCUGCAGUGCCUUCUGGUAUCAGAAUUUGCCCGAAUUUUAAUGACUUGCUCUAAAACCAGUUCAUCAUCUUUUUCCUUUUUUUUAAUCCAUAAUAGUUUUGUAUAAAUAUAUCAAGAAUAUCACGGGUCAGCUAGGUGUCUAAGCAUGUCUUAAUGUAUUCAUUUCCAAAAUAGGUCUAACUAAACGACCGUCUAAUGCAUAACCAUAUUUUCUUUGCUAAAAUCGCAUUAAUUGGUGGCAGUCAGUCAGCCAGUGGAAUGAACAUUUCUUGUUAAGUAACUCUACAAUAAAGCUGCAAUUACAUUAACACAAACUCCAUGUAAAAGAAAUUCAUUACUAAGGUAUAAAUUAAGACUCAAAUAAAACAACUAUCAGACCCAACUAGAACUCUUUUAUGACAACCAGAAGGCUAUUUACACGAGAAAAUAUGCAUCGUGCAUUAAAGUGACCUCCCUCACUUAAAACUCACUCUCUCUAAUUUCAGAAAUAACUUGUAAGCUAAUUACACAGAAGAAUCUACAUAAGUUGUUAAAUGGAAUAACUGUGCAUUAAUGGCAUCACAAAAUAUUGAUUUGUAUACCUGUGUUUCAAGGCAUACUGACUGAAACUCAUCCUGUAAAAUUAAAAAGGACAAAUUCUUCAGAAUUCAGCUGAAAGCAUUAUAAAAUACAUUAUCACAUAUAAAUACACAAAUAAAUACUCCUGAUGAGACCCCCAAAUGCACACCACCAUUCAACAUAUCAUUAAAUCCUUUGAUAAGAACAUUUAAGAAAUCAAGAGAAGAAAUGCAUUGUUAAUAUUGGCAAAUGGUAUGAAAUGAAUUACCUCUACAUUUCCAUGCAAAGAAGUGAUGACCUGAAAAUUUGUAUACGAUAUCAAUGAAAUGAGCAUUUGUUCUGAAUUUGAACUCAAAAAAGAGACCCUCUAUCCAAAUCUCUGCUUACAAAGUGCAGAGAAAUAAACAAAAUGUCUACAUCGAUUAUUAAAUGACAUUAUCUGUACCUGAAUAAACAUCCUAUGAAGACGCUCUUGCUCGGCAGUUGUAAAAUUCGGAAAUGCUUGGCAAAAUUCCUUUUGUGUUCAUCAUAAAAAAAAGUUAGUCAAUUGAAUCUGGAGGAAGAAAUGCAUAAAUUCGAAAGAAUAAAAUAAAAUUUCCAGACACAAUGAAAUGGGUAUCUUUUGACUUUGAAAUGGCAAUUGAGCAAACCAAUUUCUAAAGAAGAUGAAAUUGUAAGUAAAGAAACCUGCUUAGAACAGGGAGUGAGCAGGGAACGAAUGCAGAACUUGAAGGAUUUCUUCAUCUCCAUAUGCCUCGUCCCCAUCGCAGACACAAAAGAUUCUGAUUUUUUAUAGAGAUACUACAGAAAGAUUUAAGAUCCACACAAGACCAGAGUGAUUCAACACAACAUUCAAAACUAAGUAAACCGUGCAUCGUGAAAUUAGGGUUUACUAGAAUCCAGAAAUUGAAGUGAAAUCUAAAGAAAAUAAAGAGGGAAAUGUAUACCAGCAGAAAUUGAAGUGCCUACGGUAUCUUCUUCUUGUAGAUGCAGAUGUCGUGGUCCGGCUCGUGAAGACUCCCAAAGAUAGUGAGUGAAAUUUGAGAACAAACAAAAGGAAAAUAGAAAGAGAGGGAAAUUUGAAUGCUAGCUAUUUUUGUGGGUUUGAAAUGAAUAAUAAGAAAUGCUAAAAAUAUGAGGCUAAGUCAAUAAUAAGUAUUAUAUAAAGAAAUAAGUGAAUCUUGAAUUAACAAGCGCAUCUGGUGUAGUGGUAUCAUAGUACCCUCCCACGGUACUGACCAGGGUUCGAUUCCCUGGAUGCGCAUUUCACUCUUUUAGCAUUUUUCAAUUUUAUGAUUUAAGUCUCACACCUUACUCUCCGUUAUAACUCAGAAUUUAACUAAAAGUCGAGAGCGCCAAACUUAAAAACAGCACCAAAAACCUAUGAAACCCUGGACAACAAAUUCCCUUGUCGCUUUAUAAACAAAAGCGCUGCGAACCAGAGAAAUAAGGAGAAGGAGUUCUUCUUGGGUUACACAUCUCUUUGGAUCAAGUUUGAAGGUUAGUCUUCAAGCCUUUCUCUCCUUCAAUUUAUAUUUUUCUAGUUUAGGGUUACCAUGGUUUCUAAAUGGCUAUCAAAAUUGGGUAUUUCUGACUAAAUUUAUGAACGUAUUGAAUGGGUUUUGUGAUCUUUGCAGCACUAUGGCUGGGUUUUGGGAAAUCUUAACAAAACACUCUAUGCCCAUGGAUAUUGGUGUGUGAUUUGUGUUUAUGGUACAGUUCUGUAGUUGCUUUGUUAACUUUAUCACUUUGAAUUAGCUAAUAUACUUCACGAGGAGCGCAACUUAGGUCACAAAGGAGAUGGUGGAUGGAAGGCAGUUGCUUGCAAUACUGCUGAAAAUAUAUUAGCUGCACAAUUUAAUCUCCAGAUAAGUGCUAAUAAUAUUAGAAAUCGUGUUAAGUCAUGGAAAAAGUUCUAUAGAGUAGUGAGUGAUAUAUUAAGUCAAAGUGGAUUCAAUUGGGAUUCAACAAAAAAAGAUAAUAAGUGUAGAUGAAGAUCAUGUUUGGGAAGAUAUGUGAAGGUAAAUGUAUAUAUAUAUAUAUAUAUAUUAAAUUUAUCACGUGCUUUUUUGUUGUUGUUGUUGUUGUUAAAGAGUACUUUUAAGAUUCUUAUUUGACUUUGAUUAUUUGUUUGGUAGUCUCAUGACGAUGCUAGAGGUUUUCGAUUUAAAGUUAUAGAAAAUUGGGAUGAUAUAGUAGAUUUGUGUGGCAAAGAUAGAGCCACUAGAGAGGGCGCUGAAACAGAUGCAUAUGCAACUGAGGUUAUGACUCCUACUAAUGAAGUUGAUCAUAUUGAUUUAGAUGGUGAUACACAAGGUUAUGACUCCUACCAAAAGAUGUUGGUUGAAUCAUACAAAGGACAAGCUACCAAAAUUGCUAUGUAAAAAUUGUGGUGGUAUCAAAUCCCAUAUAAAGCAUGAGAAUGGCCACUUUUGAUAAUCAUUUCAAUUUUAGUUUUUUUUUUUUUUUUUGGGGUACUAGAGUAUAGAGGAAAAUGAGAGUGAGAAUGGGGGUGAGAGUGAGAUUGAGAGAUAGGAUGAGAAGGGGGGAUGAGAGAAGGCAUAACAAAAGUGAAAGCAAAAUCUUGAAAAUAAAAUAGUUUGAAAUAGAUUUCCGUUUUUAGUUUUUGUUUUCGCUGUUGUUACUCCUCCCUCUCAUCCUCUCAUCUCGUCUUCACUCUCAAUCUCAUCUCCACUCUUAUUCUCACUUCCAUUCUCCCUCUUUUUCCUCUAUACUCUAGCACAAAAAAUGAAAACUAAAAGCUAAAAUUGAAAUGGUUAUCAAACGGACCAUAAAAUUACAUCCUAAAAUUAAAAUCUUUACAUGGUAAUUGCUAAAAGGAGACUUCAUACAAAGGAAAGAUUAUCUCGAUUUUCUUGUUUAUCUUCUUCUUGUGUGUUUUUGUAUUGGAUUCAUAAUCUUCUUCUCAUUUAUUUUCCAUAUUAUUCUUUUUAUUUUAUAAUGGAUUUGGAUGGGGGAAAUAAACUUGGAAUUUGGACAAAAGUCAGAACUUCUAAAUUUGACAUACAACAAUUCCCGUGUUUGGAAUAAAAAAAACAUUGAAAGUUAGAAAUUCUACAUGAAAAAAAAAUGAAAUUUGGAGAUCAUGAAUGCCAACAUUAAAUUCUAUCUAAAAAAUUGUUAUUUCUAAAAUUCCAAGAGAGUGAAAGUUUUAAAAUAUUAAAUUUCAUGUUUAAAUCCAUUAGCCAAAUAAGAAAAUUUAUAAAUUCUAGAAUAUUAAUUUGCAUCAUUUUAAAUUCCAUCAUUUAUAAAUUCCUUAGUACUUUUCAUCAUCCAAACACACCUUUGGUAUCUUUUGAGGAAUUUUAUUGAAUGUCAUGCCCCAAUUUGGCCCCCAGGUUGUUUCACUAACUGGAUUUGGACUUCCAAAUUAAAACGUAAUAGUACUAAGCUCCAUUCACAAUGUAAUAUUAUAAUGUUUAAAUGAUACACCAUUGUUUGAGCAAAUUUCCCUACAGGGAAUAUUCGUGUGUAGAUUCUUCGCCCUUCGAGCUUCCUUUUAUUUCUUCUUCCUCGAUCCCUACAAAAAAGGUUGGAGUUAAUAGACCACACCCAUGGGGUGUUGGCCAAAGAGCCUCCGAGGCCUAGGUCAGUUAAAUGUUCUUGAGAAAGAUACUGAGAUAACAUAAAUGAUGGAGGUCUUCUCUCAUAGGGAGAGCCGGGUGGCUGGAGUCGUGAGGGAGAGAGAGAGCCAAGAGUGGCGCGAGAGAAAGAGAGCUUUGGCUAGGGUUUUAGAAUUACCUCUUGUGUGUUGUGUAGCCAUGUAUUUAUAAACUCCUUGUAGGCUAGGGUUUGAAGAAUAAUCUAUAUUUGGUUAGGAUUAUUCUUAUACAUAAAUAGGAGAUUGUUAUUAAUCAAGGAUUUUCCUAAUUAAAUAGGAUUUAAUUAAGGUAAUCAGUUGACCUAAUGAAUAUUCCUUUUGCAUGUGUCACCAAUGGCGGAUCCACCAUGGGGUCAAUGGGGUCAGACGACCCCAUGGCAGCCCUGGAAAUGGCUUGGAGGUCCUUGCUUUCUCUUGGCAGCCAUGGGAGACCACCUCAUGGAGAAGAAGAUGCAAGCUGCUAGGGAGAAGAGAGAGAGAGAGAGAGAGAGAGAGAGAGGGGUAGGAAGUAGCCGACACAAAUUUUAAUAAAAAGGAAGAUAUUUUGUUAGGGUUUUUAAAAUAUUUUUUAAUUCUAUUGGGUACACCUAUAAAUAUUAAAAGUAUACAUCAAUAACAUAAAGAUAUCAUAUACCACAACGGUUCCCUUUUUUUUGGUAAUAUUUCAAGGUAUUUUGUUAUUUGGGUUACAUAAUACAUAUAUUAGCUUGAUUUAUUGAAUGAUGUUUUUAUUAAUUGGAAUAAGUUUGGUGUGUUUUUUGUUUUUUAUUUUUGCAUUGUUUCACCUUAAAAAGAAAAUCGGAACUUUAACACUAUGACCCCAUAGAGUAACAAUCCUGGAUCCGCCACUGCGUGUCACCCAUCUGAAAUAUGUGUUCCCACAACCAUAAUAUCACAUUGUUAAAUAGAAUGUAGGUGUAGAAACCAAAAUUUCAUCAGUCAAAAUUCAAAAUUUGACUAGUCAAAGCUAGCUGGAACAGUAAUGGGUUCCACACAAAUACAUGUGGCACAUGCUCAUCAAGACGAAGAUGGACGUUGGAGAUCACACAUGCCAACAUCUAAGAGAUCCAUCAAUCAAAUUAAAUCAUAUGACAAAAAGGAAUAAAAUAAAUCAUAUUCCUAAAUCAUAAGUUAAUUUCCUCAAAUCAUGGAUUUUGACUUAAUUAAAAGUUAAAUUAAGGGAUGCAGAUUGGGGGUUCCAAAUCUCUAUGCCCAAAGCAACACCUAAACUCUCAAGUUCUUCAUCAAGCGUGUAAAGAAUCAACAAACACAUGUCCAUUCCUUCACCACCAAAGCCGAAAACUAUCCACCACGUGACACUACUCGUGGUCUUGACAUGCUUGAGAUCAAGUCGUGAUGGUCCUCCUCAAAGUCUCAAAUUCUGUUUCAUGAUCCAGUGCUUGGCACUCUUGAACUGUACACACUAGGAGAUCAAAUCAGAGAAAAUUCUUUUAUUUUGUACAAGAAUACCCAUAGAGAUUGUAACCUACACACUUGAUAAAUCAAUAUAAAUAUUUAUUUUGUACAUGUAUUCUCGUUUCAUUUGUCGCGGGAUUUUCGUGUUUACAAAUUUGGCACACCUGGUGGGACCUCUCUACCUUUCAUCUCUUUCUCUGCCUCUCUACGUCUAAGUCUAAUGAAGUUCAUGAGAAACACAAGUCAGUCAUCACCCAUGAGAAGCACAGCAAACACGUGUCAAUUCCUUCACCACCAAAGCCGAAAACUAUCCACCAUGUGACACUACUCGUGGUCUUGACAUGCUUGAGAUCAAGUUGUGAUGGUCCUCCUCGAAGUCUCAAAUUCUGUUCAUGAUCCAGUGCUUGGCACCCUUGAACCGCACACACUAGGAGAUCAAAUCAGAGGAAAUUCUUUUAUUUUGUACAAGAAUACCCAUAGAGAUUGUAACCUACACACUUGAUAAAUCAAUAUAAAUAUUUAUUUUGUUCGUGUGUUCUUGUCUCAUUUGUCGCAGGAUUUUCGUGUUUACAAGUUUGGCACACCCAGUGGGACCUCUUUGCCUCUCAUCUCUUUCUCCAGUUCCAAACUCAAUCAAUUCACUAAAGCUGAUGGCUUCAAGUCUUUCUCGCGUGUAAAGGGAAGAGCUCGAGCGCUUAUACCAUAAGCAAAGCCUAUACUAGCACCGUAAGUCGAAGAAAUACGAAGACUUACCUUCCAGGCCAGCACACUGCUUCCAUGUCUCUCCGUCUAAGUCUAAUAGAGUCCAUGAGAAACACAAGUCAGUCAUCACCCUUACCUCGUUGGGGGCAAAGAAGGACGUCUUUCAAAGAAGGAGAGGUGCUCAUCAAGACUAAAGGAUUCAAUAAAGUAGCCAUUCUCACAUGUUCCUGAUGCCGACUCAAGGAUGGACGAAUACUACUGAUCAAAUUUAAUGUACUGGAGGGAGGCUUUGAUGAUGUACUCAGACUCCUCUAGCUCUUCAUGCUCCAUGAUUGUGCAAGUCAUGAUGGUAGAGGUCACUUCCAUUGAAGAACAACUUGUUUAGAUGGCCCAAGCAAUCCAAAAGUUGGUGAAGACCGUUGAAGAGAAUAGGACGCUUAUAAAUGAUUAACAUGCCUCUCUUAGGAAACUAACAGGAACCUGGGUCUACCUAAGGACGCUUUGUGGACUGCGUCUCCCUUAAGACUCUUAUAAAUGAUUGUCAUGCCUAUUUUAGGAAACUAACAGGAACCUGGGUCUUUCUUAGGAUACUCCUGGAGCAUCUUGCUUCCCCAUAAGGACUCUUUGAGGACUUCAUCUCCUUUAGGACACUUAUAAAUGAUUGUCAUGCCUAACUUAGGAAACUGACAGGAUCAUGGGUCUCCUUUAGGAUACUUCUGGCGCAUCUUGGGUCUCCCUAAGGACUUUUGUGGACUGCAUCUCCCUUAGGACGCUUAUAAAUAGCUGCUUCUCUUUGACACAUUUUUUUGAAUAAGAAACUGAACUUGCAUUGAUGUUUAUAUGAUUACAUUGCUUUAUUUGAAAUGGAAAUAAUUGGAUAAAUAACCUGGAAUUUCCAAUAGCUGCUUUUCUUUUUUAGAAGUGGGCAGGGCUCAAUCAUCUACAAGGAAACGAACUGGCAGGCAAAAGCUUCACGAGGAAUAUCUUUGAAAGUGGCAUGCAUUCCGUUGUCUUAGAAUCUCUUUCAUGAUGUCAAGUGUAUAACUUCCUCUGCCCCGGAUUGGUUGAUCACAUAAAGGCUUUCCCAAUUAGGUUUCAUCUUCUUUGAUCCUUGUUUUUGUGCUGUAAUGAAAUUAUUUCUAACUACAAGGUUGCCAGGUUGAAACUGUCUGACCUUGGCCAUUUUGUCAUAGUAAGACUUCAACUGCUGCUGGUAAGAGGCAACUUGGACAAUGGCUUUCUCGCGUUCUCCCUCGAGUAGGUCAAGGUUGAGUUUCAUUUGUUAUAAGUUCUUACCACUAUUACCCACCUCAAUGCUUAUGGAGGGGACAAUGAUGUGCGGAGGAAUGAUUGCCUCAAUUCCAAUACACGUACGCACGUAUUUCUCAUGUUUAAUACACGUAUUUUUUACAAAAAUUUCAGUAAGACACAAAAUUCACGUAUUCUACACGUAUCACUGUACUUUUAAAAAAAAAAAGGUAUAGCCGUACGGCUGUACUCAGUUUUUCCUAAUUGGUUUUCAAAAAAUUGUAUAACCGACCGGCUUUACCUCUUUGACACGUGGGCUUAGGCCAUGUGCGGGUCUAUAUAUAUAUAUGAAUUUUUUUUAAGAACAUAUAGUCGUGUGCGGCUGUACUCAUUUUUCCUUUUUAAAAAAGAAAAAAAAAAGAAAGAAAGGCUUAACUCUUUUGACACGUGGCAAAUAAGGGCUGGGAGCGUAUUCUUUUUCAAUAAAUUUAGGUUUUAGCCACAAAAAAACUUUCAAAUCAAAGACAUGCAAAUGUAAAGGAUUCCUUAGGAAAUCCAAAAAUAAGUAAGGGCAAUUUGGUCCAUUUUGGCUUCUUUUAAAAAUUUUCUCUCUCCUUUGGCCUUUUCCAAAGUUUCCCUUUUUUUUAAAGAUAGACAUAGUAUAGCCGCACGGCUAUACUCUUUUUUAUUUUUAAAAAUUUGUUUCUUUACUUUUGUUUUUUGGCUUACUUCUUUAAUUUACCAUACGUAAUCAAGUAAUAUCUUAGCCUUUUUUAAUCACUUUGCUUAAUCAUUAUAUUUUAAUUAUUAUUUAAUAUAAAAAGAUUAAAGAAAAAGAACACAAAGUAAUUAAUUUCUAUUUAUUAAGUCUUUUGUGAAAUCGUUUGGGUGUCUUAAUUCAAUUUCUCCGUAGCCCAAGAGCCCUAUCCAUUACAAUUAUGCCAUUACUUGAGUAACUAUCGUCCCUUUUUGAUGUUUUACUUUUCCAAAGUUAUUACCCGCAUAAAGAUUUUAGCACUUUCACAUUUGAUGACGUAUUAUACACGUACGCAAGUAUUUCUCAUGUUUAAUACACGUAUUUUUUUACAAAAUUUUCAGUAAAACACAUAGAAAUCACGUAUUAUACAUGUAUUACUGAAUAAAAAUAAUAUGUACUUUAAAAAAAAGGGUACAGCAGUAUGGCUGUACUUAGUUUUCCCUAAUUAUUUUUCAAAAAAUAGUAUAGCCGCCCGACUAUACUCGUUUUUGCAUAAAAAACGUAUAGCCGCCCGGCUUUACCUCUUUGAGACGUGGGCUUAGGCCAUGGGUGCGUCUUUAUAUAUAUAUUAGUAUAGCAGCCCGGCGAAACUAUUUUUUUGAAUUUAAAAAAAGUACAGCCGUGCGGCUGUGCUCGUUUUCCCUUUUUUUUAAAUUUAGAAAAAGGCUUUACUCUUUUGACACGUGGCACCUAAGGGCUGGGAGCAUCUUUUUUUUUUUUAAGAUAUACAUAGUAUAGCCGCACGGCUAUACUCUUUUUUAUUUUUAAUAUUUUACAAUAUAAAAUUUGUUUCUUUACUUUUGUUUUUUGGCCUACUUCUUUAAUUUAUCAUACGUAAUCAAGUAAUAUCUUAGCUUUUUUAAAUCACUUUGCUUAGUAAUUAGAUUUUCAUUAUUAUUUAAUACAAGAAGAUUGAAGAAAAAGAACACAAAUUAAUUAAUUUCUAUUUAUUAAGUCUUUUGUGAAAUCGUUUGGGUGUCUUAAUUCAAUUUCUCCAUAGCCCAAGAGCCCUAUCCAUUACAGUUAUGCCAUUACUCGAGUAUCUAUCGUCCCUUUUUGAUGUUUUGCUUUUCCAAAGUUAUUACCCGUAUAAAAAUUUUAGCACUUUCACGUUUAAUAAUGUAUUAUACACGUAUGCAAGUAUGCAAGUAUUUUUCAUGUUUAAUACAUGUAUUUUUUUACAAAAUUUUCAGUAAGACACACAAAAGUCACAUAUUAUACACGUAUUACUGAAUAAAAAUAAUAUGUACUUAAAAAAAAAAAAAGGGUAUAGCCAUACGGCUGUACUCAGUUUUCCCUAAUUAUUUUUCAAAAAAUAGUAUAGCCGCGUGGCGAUACUCGUUUUUGCAUAAAAAAGUAUAGCCGGCCGGCUUUACCUCUUUGACACGUGGGCUUAGGCCAUGGGGCGGGUCUUUACACAUAUAUAUAUAUAAUAGUAUAGCAGCCCGGCUAUACUAUUUUUUUGAAUUUGAAAAAAUAGUAUAGCCGUGCGGCGGUACUCGUUUUUCCUUUUUAAAAAAAAGGCUUUACUCUUUUGACACGUGGCACCUAGGGGCUGGGAGUGUCGUCGUUUUAAGAUAUACGUAGUAUAGCCGCACGGCUAUACUCUUUUUUCGUGGAGUAUAGUGGAGCUAGUCGCAUUUCCGAGAAAGAAAAGAUCAAAAGGUGUGCUUUUUCUUUUAAAAAAUGGGGAAAAAGAUGUCUUUGGGAGUGUUAGGACCCAAUUAAAGGAGUGCAAAGAAGAGCUGGAAUUACUGCAAUGUAUUAAUCCUUCGAAACAACAAAGUUAGAGGAAGGAGUUUCUUGAAAGGAAGAUUGAUGAUUUGCUGGAAAAACAAGAAGUUAUGUGGCAGCAGCGGUCAAGGGUGGGGUGGCUGAAAGAAUGGGAUAAAAAUACGAGUUAUUUCCAUGAAAAUGCAAAGGAGAGGACAAAGACUAAUUUCAUAGCAGGGGUGUAUAAUUCAAAGGGGAAAUGGUGAACGGAUAGGAGACUGGUAACCAAAAUUUUUAGUAUUUAUUUUCAGUCUCUCUUUGCAAAAACAGGAGGCAAUAAUAUGGAGGUGAUCACUGACAAGGUUAGUCCAAAAGUGCCUGAUCAAAUGAAGCAUUUUCUUAUUAAGCCUUACAACAAAAAUGAGGUUGAGUUUGCUUUGAAGCAAAUGCCUCCUUCAAAGGCUCCUGGAAUUGAUGGAAUGUUAGCUGUUUUUUUUUUUUUUUUCAGAAAUACUGGCACAUUCUUGGGGACGAAGUUGUUGAGGUAUGUCUAAAAAUUCUUAAUGGUCAGGAAAGUGUGAGAAGCUUGAACAAGACUUUGAUAGCUCUCAUCCCUAAAGUUGAAAAACCGGAAUUUGUGACUCAGUAAAGGCCAAUAUCUCUUUGCAAUGUGAUUUAUAAAAUUAUUUCUAAGGCUAUAACUAACAUAUUAAAGUGUGUGCUCCCAAUGAUUAUAUCUGAAAGUCAGAGUGCUUUUGUUCCAAAGAGGCAAAUUUCAAAUAACAUCAUUCUGGCUUUUGAAACAAUCCAUGCCAUGAAAUGUAGAAGGGGGAAAAAAGCUCCAAGGUUUGCUUUGAAGCUAGACAUGGCAAAAACAUAUGAUAGAGCUGAGUGGAAUUUCAUUUGUAAAAUGAUGGAGAAAUUGGGUUUCCCUGACGAGCUUAUUAAGCUGGUAUUUGAGUGUAUAUCUAUUGUUUCAUAUUCUUUGAUAAGGCAUGGAGCUGUGGAAGAUAAUAUUAUCCCACAAAGGGGGAUUAGACAAGGAGAUCCCUUAUCUCCCUAUAUUUUCCUCAUUUGUGCAAAGGGUUUCUCUACGCUUCUUAAACAGGCAGAGCUUUCUAGUGACAUAAAAGGGAUUGAAGUUGCAAGGGGGGGCCCUUUAAUAUCUCAUUUGUUUUUUGCAGAUGACAGCUUACUCUUUCUUGAAGCAACACCACAGGCCUGUAGAACCCUAAAGAGGGUGUUUGAGAUUUAUGAGAUGGCAACAGGGCAAAAAAUAGAUUUGGCUAAGUCUGCGAUUGCUUUCAGUCCAAACACUCCUGUGCAAUUAAGGAAUGAGGUGAGUAGCAUUUUAGCGAUCCCAAUUGUUGAGUUUCAUGAGAAAUAUUUGGGAUUGCCAACUGUGAUUGGUAGGAAAAAGAAGGAGUGUUUCAACAGAAUAAAAGAAAGAUUGAGAAAGAAGCUUAAUGGAUGGAAAGAGAAAUUACUUUCAAAAGCAGGAAAGGCUCUCCUUAUCAAAGCGGUGGCUCAGAGCAUUCUUGAUUAUGCUAUGGGAGUCUUUAAACUUCCUGUAACAUUCUGCGCAGACUUAAACUCAAUGAUUUCUAAAUUCUGGUGAAAGUGUUGAUGCUCAAAAUGGCCCGGUCAAUAGUGAGUCCAACUUAGUGAUUAGGUAUGCGGGGUCUUCAGCAGGGAAGAGAGCUGAGGCCCUUGGUGAAAUAUAGGUUGAUGGGAAACCUGCAGAAGACAAAGUGGGAGAAACAAUCGUUAAGCUUCGGACACCGGUGUGGUGCCGGCCGAAGGCUCUCCGAUGCCUAAGUCAGUUACAAGUAGUAAUUCUGGCAGAGUAACAGUAAAAGUGGGAGAAUAGUUGUCCUUUUUACCUGGGUACUGUUCCCUAUUUAUAGGGAAGUGAAAGUGGGAACUUUGCACAAAGUUCCAAUGUGGGACUUUGUGCAAGUCGUUGUGGUGGCGACACGUGUCCUGGAGAUUAGGUUUGGCAGUUGGGAGCUUCGGCAGGUGUCUGGCACCUCGAAAGUGUGUCUUCCUUCGGCAGGGGAGAAGGCGUGGCUGUCUUGGUGCUAGUCGCUUUGGUGCUGGGUCUGCUCGGUUCAUUAUGGUGUAAACAGUAGUCCCCCAAGUUCGCGGUCGAGAAGUAACUUCUGGGUUGGGAACUUGUGAGUUUUUGUAAUUGUAACCGAGCAUUCCAGCUUCGUUGGGAGUCGUAGGGCACUCCCUAGUCCCCCAAGUUGGCAAGCUAGGAGUUGCGUCAACACAUUGUAGCUGGGUACCUGGGUACUUGGGCAUGUUGCAGAUAAUAUGGGAGCUGGGUCCGUAGGGGAGCCGGACCUUCGAGGGAGCCGAGUCUUAUGGAAAAUUUGGACUUCCCAAAAUUUGUCCAUGGCCCUUGCCGUUCGGCAAGGGUCUAGCUCCUCUUUUUUUUUUUUUUUUGAAUGGCCGGGAGCUAGGCCAUCGAGGGAGCCGGGUCGUUUUUGAAAAUUUGGCUCUCCAAAAUUUCUCCAUGGCCCUUGCCGUUCGGCAAGGGUCUAGCUAUUUUUUUUUGUUGCUCGGGAGCUAGGCCUUUUUGGAUUGGGUCUUCGGCAAGGGGCUGGGGUUGGGCUCAAAGUGGGCUUCGGCAUGUGAGAAAGGCUAGGGUUUUGAGAUCCCUACAAAAUUUAUAUGAUGCAUUAUGCCGUUCGGCAAGUCUUCAUUCGGCAGCUUUGUAGAUUUUGGGAUUGGGAGGAAACAAAAACUUGGGAGAUUUGAACUUGCCGUUCGGCAGCAAGCUUGGGCGGCGCUUCGGCAGCAGGACUGGGCGGCGCUUCGGUAGCAAGACUGGGCGGCAGCAAGACUGGGUAGGCUUAAUUGGGUUGUGCUGUGCCGAUCGGCAGGGUUGGUCCGAGGAGGUGUUGCUGUGCUUAGAGCACAUCGGUUGUGGCUGGACCCUUGCCGUUCGGCAAGGGUGAUUAGGGAAGAGCUGUUGCGAGCAAGUGUGCGAGAUCCUUGCUGUGGCUUCGGCAUGUGGGCUGGGAUAUGAGCAGGGCUUGGUGUGAGCGAAGUCAGCGGGAAGAGAUGGGCUUCGGCAAUUGAUCUUGCCGUUCGGCAAAAGGUUGCCGAGAUAAAGUUGGAGCUGCCGAGAUCAGAUUGGAGCUGCCACUGGUCUUGCCGUUCGGCAAGAGGCUUGGCAGCGGCUGAGGUGUCCAGCGGCAGGAGGCUUCGGCAGGGCUGUGCGUCGGCUUCGGUAAGGCGGCUAGGAAGGUUUUCGUUGCGGCAGCUGGUUCUGCCAGCUGGGAGAGUUGCUCGGCAAGGUUGUAUGCUUCGGUAUGGCCUCAUUUCCCUCUUAUUUCAUGUUUGCAUAGCCCUUGCCGUUCGGCAAGGGUGCCUUGAGCUGAUUUUUAUUUUGACCGUUGUGUUUGAUCAAAGGUGAUAGGCCCGAGCGAAAUUGGAGCUAGGCCGUUGGCAAGAGCACGGCAGAAAAUAGCUGGGCCAAAAAAAUAGCUGGGCCGAAAAUAGCUGGCCUGAAAAAUAGCUGGGUGUGGAGAGUGGUUUGGCCGAAAAGGAGCUGGGUUUUCGUGCUCGCUUAGCCUCUCGAGCUAGACCGUCCAUAAGGCAAGUGAGUUUCCCGGGACUUGCCGUUCGGCAAGUCCAUCCAUGAUAUAUGUUUUGAAAUGUAUUUGGGUGCCUUGAUCAAAUUUGGGCUUAGCCUUGUAGUAGGAUUGGGCUUAUGAAAUAGGCUAGGACACUUGAAAAUAUGGGGACUCCAUUUUGUUUUUGCACGGGCCUUGUCGUUCGGUAAGGCCCCUAAAUUUCCCUAAAUUUUUUGUUUUUGGUUGUUUAUGUAUUUUGAAAAUUGAAUUUCAAAUGGUGUGUAGGUACAAGGGUUUUAGGAGGGAAGAUGAAAGGGUGCUAGGGUUUGCUCGUGAAUCGAGGCGUGGUACCCUUAGUUGGCUAUAAAAAGGAACUUGGGGUGGUGAAGGCACCACACUUGAGUUGAGAAAAUUUGUGAGAAAUUGAAGAAGAGGAGAGGCGAUUUCCGGCGAUUAGUUUGUGGUGGUGCUUGUGGCUGAGGUGAUUUCCGGCGAUCCAUUCGUGGUGCUACGAACAAGGUUAGACCUUAUUUCGCUAGAACUUUUGAAUUGAAAUGUCUUGUUUUGCAUGAACAUGUUGAAGGCUAGGAAGAACACAUUGAACAUGAGCAUGAACAUGAUGAACACGUUGAACAUAUGUAUGAACAUGUAGAAUUCUUGCCUGGCAUGAAGAUUUGGCAAAUUUUUGUUGUGGUGGUUCGAUCCUCUCCGCAUGUGCAUUAGUUCCUUUUUCUUGUUUGUGCAUAUUGUAGAUGUCUGAAAGUUCUGAUAGAGAAAGUCCUGACCCCCCUGCCUUUGGUGGGGAUGAUACUGAGAGUCAAGAGCCGAGCCAAUAUAUAUGUUCUGAAGAGGAAAGUUCAGAGACAGAGGGUAUGGUAGAAGGAACCAUAGAAAGUAGGAUGAUAGGGCCUGGGGGUGAGAGGGCUGAGCCAUCGGGAGACUCUGGGUCGGCUGCAUAUAGGGAGAUGCAGAGAAAUUAUAUAGAGUUAGAGGCUAUAGCAAAUCGGGUUCUAGCCUUGCCUCAAACGCAAGAAGUGGGUUCGAGCAACCAGGCAUCACUAUCAGGGUCUGUGGGUAUAGCCGUGGCUUCGGUAUUAGAGGGAUUAGACAUCCGGGUUGGUGUCUCGUUGCCGCGGCGGAAUACACUUACAGAAGCGAAAUUGGCCCAGCUACGAACAGAUUUUUGUGUGCCAGCCUAUGUGGGCUUGAGGUUACCCACUGAGGUCGAUGUAGUCAGAUAUCCUUCGGAUGGCUCCGUGAUGAUUUUUACAGAUAUGUAUCGGCACGGCUUCAGACUACCGUUUCAUCCGUGGGUUCAGAUGAUGUUGGCCAAGUUGGGGUAUGCACCGGGGCAGUAUAAUCCCAACUUUUGGAUUCUUCUUCAUGGGGUGUAUAUUGCCUGGUGGUUGGCUGGGUUAGGGGAGCCAACGUUUGAGCAAUUCAUGUACCUGUACUCCAUUUCGAAGCAGCAGGGGACUUUUGGCUGGGUACAGGCCAAUUGCCGAAAGGCGAAGGAGAGGGGUUAUUUUAUUGGACACAAGCUCACAACGCAAAAGCCCUGGAGGAACAGGUGGUGCAUGGCCUACGGGGACUGGGAGAGUCCUCUAGGGAAGAGCAUUGUCCAGCACAUUCCUACCCACUUCCAGUCGAUAGGUCCUUGGCCCCAUCCCUUAAGAUUGUCUAAUGCUUGAUUGUGUUGUCUUGGCUCCUAUUGUUGGGUCUGUAUUUUGUUUGUGCCAGUGUAAAUGGCUAAGUAGUUUCUAACUCUCGGUGCAGGUUCAGUGAAGUGGGGCCCUCUCUCCAAGGAGCAAGAAGACGAGGUUGAGUGGGUGAGGGCGCAGCUAUCAGAGACUGAGCGUGAGUGCGGGAACCUAGUCACGCAGAAGAAUUUGUUUGAGUCCGGACUGCUGCAAGGAAGUAAGUACCUGGGUUAUCUUUUUGUUGUGUGCUGAGCCUUUGUGAGUUUGAGUAAUAGAAUUGCUCUGUUUGUUUUGACAGUGGCUGGCAUCAUAAGGGGGAGCACGAAGGUGGCCGUAGACAUUGAUGAGGGCGAGAUGCAGAAGCGGCUGAGGGAGUCUCGGGCCAGGAAAGUUGAGAAGAGUGCUAGAAAACGACCAAGGGAUGAUGAUGAGGGUCGGGUCGCGGACGUGCUGGGGAAAAGGAAAGCCUUGGAGGAGGCUCAUCAGCAUGUGAUGGGGUCAGGGCCGAGACUUCCGCCCUUUGAUCUGCAGGCACCGCCGAAGCUACCCUUCGGCAUGGAGGACGUGUUCGCUGAAGGGGUAGAGAAGGUAGACUUCGGCAGGCUACGCCAGCAGAAGAAGGAGGUCAACCUGGCUAUGCACCGGCAGGAGGUGCCUUUAGUGAACGUCUUCCUGGAAGGCGUGAAGAGCGACCUUGAGGCUCUGGCGAGGACUCCAGCUUCUUCCUUCAUUGACCGGGCCCAAAAGACGAUCCUCACCUCUGCCUAUGUAAGUGUUUAGGCCCUUUUUGAAUGUAUUUGUGUUGGAUUAUUUUUGUGUGGAUUAACUAACAUGGUUUUUGUUUUGCAGGCCUUUGGCGAGAUGUACGUCAGCAUGGCCAAGGCUGACAAGGAGAUCCAGAGGCUGAAGAGGCGGGAUGAGCUAGCCAAGAGAAAAAUGGCGGAGGCGCAGGAGGCCAUCCGAGAGAAGAACGCCUUGCUGGUUCAAAAGGCGGCCCUGGCCAAGGAGGUGGAGGAGCUGAAGAGAUCGAAGGCCGAGGAGGUGGCUGCUGCCCGAGUCGAGGCGAUUGAGUCCUUCCGAUCCUCAGAGGAGCUGAAGAGCUAUAUCAUGGACCGACUGGCUGAUGAGCAGCUUCGCUGGGAAGAUAGGUUGGUUAGGUUCAACCCCUCGGUGGAGAUUAACUUUGACACCAGUGGCGAGCCUCCUGCACAGACCCUUCCUGCUGAUGCUAGCGCCCCGACACCAGAGGCUGAGUUGGCCAGUGAGGAUGCCCCGUCGACCGAGUCUUGAAGGCGUUGCCUUCGUUAUGUGUUAUAGUGAUUAUGUACUUUAGUGAUUGUGUUGGAACACUGUUUAUUUUGUUUAUGUAUGAACACUUAUCCUUGCCUGGAGCAAGGGUGUUUUGAUUUGUGAUAUGAGACUUGUGUGAUAUCAAUUGUGUUAGUAAAGUAAUAGCCAUGUGAAUGCAUGAAAAUGAGCCGGAGUCAGGCGUUUCAUUUAAAUAGGUGCCGAAAGGCAGAAGGUACAAGUGGUCUAGGGUCUAGAUACCUUACUUCUACCUUACAGUAAAUAAUCAAGACCAAAGUGUUGUCCUAGGGUCUAGAUAUGUUUACUUGUAAUAGUACUUGAGGUGGUCAGCAUUCCACGGGUGAGGCAGCGUCUUGCCUGUGGAAUCACGAAGCUGAUAAGUGCCGGGGCGGCAGAUUUUGAUAAUCUCAUAAGGACCUUCCCAUGUAGGGCCGAGGGUACCUUCGUUGGGAUUUUUGGUAGCCAAGGAAACUUUGCGCAUGACCCAGUCCCCCAUUUUGAAAGCACGGGGCUUGACUCGGGAGUCGUAAUAUUUGGCGAUCCGUUGUUUGUACGCGACAUUACGCAUGCUCGAUUGGUCCCGGAGCUCGUCAAUGAAGUCGAGGUUGAGGGCCAACUGCUCGUCAUUGGCCGUGGCAUCGUAAGUGGAGGUUCGGUAUGUGGGCUGGCUAAUCUCUACCGGAGCCACGGCCUCGGUUCCAAAUGAUAGGGAGAACGGCGUUUCACCCGUGGAUGUGCGGAAGGUGGUGCGGUAGGACCAGAGUACUUCUGGGAGUAGUUCUGGCCAGCAGCCCUUGGCUUUGUCAAGUUUUGUUUUGAGGGUCUUCUUGAUAAUUUUGUUCACGGCUUCGACCUGGCCAUUGGACUGAGGAUGGGCUGGGGAGGCGAAACACAGACGAAUCUUGAGGUUGGAACAAAAUUGUUUGAAUUUGGCGUUGUCAAAUUGCCGGCCAUUGUCGGUGACGAUGGAGUUGGGGAUGCCGAAGCGACAUACAAUGUUUUGCCACACAAAGGAUUCGAUGCGAGCUGCAGUGAUGGUGGCCAAGGCCUCGGCCUCAGCCCACUUGGUGAAGUAGUCUACGGCCACAACUGCAUACUUGACUUGGCCCUUGCCCUCUGGCAUAGGUCCAAUGAGAUCCAGUCCCCAUUGGGCAAAUGGCCAAGGGCUGACGAUGGCAGUCAACGGUUCAGCCGGGAGUUGUGGAAUGUUGGCAAAUCGCUGACACUUGUCGCAUUUCUGGGUGAAUUCCUGGGCGUCAGUGUGGAGCGAUGGCCAGAAGUAUCCUUGGCGGAUUGCCUUAUGGGCCAGCGAGCGUGCGCCCGAGUGGUUACCGCAUAUGCCUUCAUGGAUUUCUCAGAGGACAUAGUGACCCUCCUCUAGAGUCAGGCAUCGGAGGUAAGGAAGGCUGAAACCCCGCUUGUAUAAGGAGCCGUUAAUGAUCAGGUAACGGGCAGAGCGAUGGCGAACGCGUCGUGCUUAUGCCAGAUUAGCCGGUAGUGUUUGGUUCUGUAAGAACUGGAGGAUGGGGUCCAUCCACGUAGGGCUGUGAUCAAUAGUGCAGAUGAGUGGGGCUUGUGUGCUGGGCUGGGCCAAAAACUCGAUGUGGAUGUGGCGACCCAUUCCUUGCUCCAAGGAUGAUGCCAACCUGGCUAGUGCAUCGGCAUGGCUAUUCUCGGAGCGCGGCACUUGCUUGAUAGAGUGGGCGUGGAAGGUCGCCAGUAAGUGCCGAGCGUGCUGGAGGUAGGCCGUCAUAGAGGCAUCCUUAGCCGUGAAGUCCUGGUUGACCUGGUGGACCACGAGUUGUGAAUCGCUGAAUAUCUGAAUUUGCCUGGCGUCCAUCUCUUUGGCUAAUCGAAGACCAGCUAAGAGUGCUUCAUAUUCGGCCUCAUUGUUGGAGGCUUGGAAUUUGAAGCGAAGGGCGUACUCGAGGGCAACCUUGUCUGGGGAGAUGAGAACGAGGCCGGCCCCACAGACCUGGGCAUUAGAAGAGCCGUCUACGAAUAAGGUCCACAGAGGCUGGGUUAGGUCGAGAUUGCCUUCGGUGGGGGUUUGGUCCUGGCUGGGCGGGGGAUUGGGUUCGGUUAUGGGCUGGAUAGCUGACGAAGCUUGAGGCUCCGUGAAUUCGGAUAAGAAGUCAGCGACGGCCUGUCCCCUUAGAGCCGGGCGGGGUUUGUAAUGGAUAUCAAACUCGCCAAGUUCAAUGGCCCACUUAACCAGCCUCCCAGAAGUUUCUGGCUUCUGCAACACCUGUCGGAGCGGUUGGUUGGUUAAGACAUGGAUGGUGUGAGCUUGGAAAUAUGGUCGGAGGCGUCUUGCCGAGACGACCAGGGCGAACGCCAAUUUUUCGAUGUCCNNNNNNNNNNNNNNNNNNNNNNNNNNNNNNNNNNNNNNNNNNNNNNNNNNNNNNNNNNNNNNNNNNNNNNNNNNNNNNNNNNNNNNNNNNNNNNNNNNNNGCUAACAGCCGAAGCUGAGAUGGAGAGAUAAAUCACGAGGAUGUCUCCGUGCUCAGGGGUUGACAAUAAAGGGGCCCGGCCCAUAUACUCCUUGAGCUCGCUGAAAGCCGUGUCGCAUUCAGCAGUCCAGGUGAUGUUUCUUUUGGUGCCUUUAAGGGCCUUGAAGAAUGGGGCGCAGCGGUCAGUGGCUUUGGAGAUAAAUCUGGUCAGGGCUGCGACACGCCCUGUAAGGCUUUGGAUAUCUUUGACCGUCUUAGGUACCGUCAUGUCUAAGAUGGCCUGGAUCUUUUCUGGAUUGGCCUCAAUACCCCUCUGGCUGAUCAUGAAGCCCAGGAAUUUGCCGGAAGCCACCCCGAAUGCACAUUUGGUGGGGUUAAGCCUCAUUUUGUACUGCUUCAGGAUGGUGAACAUGGCAGAGAGGUUAGGGAUGUGUUGGUCAGCUGUGCGACUUUUGACUAGCAUGUCAUCGACAUAGACCUCCAUGGUAUUGCCAAUCAGUGGGGCAAAGAGCUGAUUCACCAGACGCUGAUAAGUAGCCCUGGCGUUUUUGAGGCCAAAGGGCAUCACCUUAUAGCAGUAGAGGCCGCGGUCCGUAAUGAAAGAGGUGUGGGCCUGAUCUUCGGGGUGCAUGAAGAUCUGGUUGUAACUUGAAUAAGCAUCCAUGAAGCUAAGGAGGGCGUGGCCGGCUGUGGCGUCGACUAGCUGGUCAAUGCGGGGUAGCGGGAAGCUGUCUUUUGGGCAAGCCCGAUUAAGGUUGGUGUAAUCGACACACAUGCGCCAGCCCUUUCUUGGCUUGCGGACCAUCACGACAUUAGCCAGCCAUGUAGGAUAGUCAACCUCCCUGAUGAAUCCGAUGCUACUCAAUCGAUCCACCUCCGCCCUCGUGGCCUCAUAGCGCUCGGGAUCAUAAGCGCGACGCUUCUGUCGGACUGGUCUGACGGCAGGAUUGACGCUAAGCCUAUGGGAUAUGAUGUCUGGUGAUAUGCCAGACAUGUCAUUGUAGGACCAUGCGAAGACUUCGGAGUUGAGGCGGAGGAAGGCGACCAGGUCAGAGAGAAGCUCUGGCGAGAUGGAGGUGCCGAUCCGGACUUGUCGAUCCGGGAUAUCGUCAUGGAGGGUAACCAGCUCCAGGUCCUCCAUAGGUUCGGCCUGUGGUGCGAUGGACUCCUCCCUUGGGUCUUCAGGUGGUUCUGUGCCAGCUUGAGGAGGGGCGGGAGCCUUGGUUACUACUAGGGCUUCACUCCUAUGUUGGCGAUUGGUGGAUUUGACGGCUGAAGCAUAGCAGCUUCGGGCUCCGAGUUGGUCGCCGCGCACCGUGCUUGGGCCAUUAGGAGUGGGAAACUUCAACAGCAGCAUAUGCGUGGAAAUAAAAGCCCUCAUUUGGGCCAAGGCUGGGCGGCCGAGGAUGACGUUGUAGGCUGUGGGGCAAUCGACGAUAAGGAAGGGGGUAGUGAUCGUCGUCCGCUGGGGUGCGGCCCCAAUUGAGAUAGGGAGAUGAAUGCUGCCGAUGGGCUGGACCACAUCACCCGAGAAGCUCACAAGGGGUGUGAUGCUUCGGUCGAGUAGGUGAGGCGGGACCUGGAGUUCAUUGAAGGCCUCGGCAAACAUCACACUAACCGAGCUGCCAGUGUCCACCAGGAUACGCCCAACGUCGAAGUUAGAAAUGUCAGCCCGGAUAAUGAGUGGAUCGUCAUGGGGGAGGAUAACACCACGCUCCUCCUCCUCGUAGAAGGUAAUGGGGGCCCAGCCAGUCUGUGGGUCUUUGGCAAGCGUCCCUGCUCGGUGCUGAAGACCUGGUGCGCAUAGGUGGAGCGGACAUAAUGUUUGAUGGAGUUGUUGGAGGUGCCAGCCAGGGUAGGACCUCCGCUGAUGGUGGAGAUCAUGUUGAUUUGUCGUUGGUGAGGGUUAGGCGGGGCUGGUAUGUUGCGCACAUAGUUGUCCAGCUUACCCUCCCGGAUGAGCCCUUCAUUUAUGUUGCGCAACGCAACACAAGACUCGGUGUCAUGGCCGCUGAAUUGAUGAAAGCGGCAGAAGACCCCCGUGUUUGGCAUAGGCUUGUGGAUGGUCUCGGGGGGGGUGGGUUUGGGGAUGAUGGGGGCUUCACNNNNNNNNNNNNNNNNNNNNNNNNNNNNNNNNNNNNNNNNNNNNNNNNNNNNNNNNNNNNNNNNNNNNNNNNNNNNNNNNNNNNNNNNNNNNNNNNNNNNCUCGAACCUGGGCCUGGGUGUGAAGGGAAGAGGGGCCCGAUCACCAGGCCUAGGAGGGUUGCCUCCGCUAGAGUGGUGGUGGUUGCCAUGUCUGCCACGUUUGUUAUUACUGAAGGGAUGCUGGUAGCUAUCCUUCCGCUUAUGUUGUUGGUUGUCCUGGGCACUCGGGGCAGGGGUAGAAUGCUGAGGUGGGGCUGGGGCGGGUGCUGAAGCAGGUGGAGGGUCGGCGAAAGUGUUGCGCGCCAGAUUGGCUGGGCCACGCUUGGAAUUGAGGUAUUCAGGCUUAGCAUGGAUCGCCGCCUGCUUCAUCAGCUCUGCAUAUGUGUUCCAACUGUUGCUAUGAACCAGGUAGCGGAAGUUGGACUCGCGAAGGCCGCUCUUAAAAGCGCCGAAGGCAGCGCGAUCGUCAGUGUCUGGGCAGCGGGAGUACUCAUGACUAAACCGAGCUGCAUAUUCCCGAAGGGGUUCGUCCUCAACCUGCCUAAGCAUAUACAAGUCGUCAGCAGAGUAUAGGCGAUCAAUCUGGAUCAUAAAAUGGUCCAGGAACGUCUGCUUGAGACUAUCGAAGGUGGAGCCUGUAGAACCAAUUCAGGGCCGCGCCGCUGAGGGUGGAAGGGAAAAGGAGGCACAUGCCUUCAUCGGUGAGGCCUUUGCACCCAAAGGCAGACUGGAAGGAGUGGAUGUGGGUGAGAGGGUCCUCCGUGCCAGUGUAGAAAGCGAUGCGGAGUGGCUGGAUAUCUUUCUCCUGGUGGUAAUGGAGGAUGCGUUCGGUAAAGGGCCCUGGUCGUGGUUUUGCCCAAAGGGGUUGAUGGCUGCGAUGUUGUUCGCUUUCCAGGCGCCGGACCUUUUCAAAGAGAAGCCUCAUGGCCGGGUCGGCAUGAGGAAGAGUUUCAGGUGCCAAAGGCUUGGGGGCGGGGCAGACAGGGACUGGGGAUUGUUCCCAAUUUUCCAGCGCCUCGGUGUGGUAAUUUGGCCAGGUCUCUGAAUUAUAAAAUUCCCAAGUAUCCGAGUCCUCGACACCUUCCUCGUCGGGUAUGCGGACGGGGGCUGCGAGGGGCCCAGGUGUGUCACCCGUGGGUCUUCGAGGUUGACAGGGAUAGGGAUCGGCCUUGGCUGACGGUCCGAGAGGCGAUCCCUGCAAUCUUGGUAGAUCCUGACUGGUUCAUGGGGCCGGUCCCUCGGUGGGGGAACGCAAAGGGGUCGUGACUGGGUUAUCUCCGGAUGAAGGUGGUCUUUACCCUUGCGGAGCCUAGCUUGGGCCGAGGCACUGUGGCUGGAAUGUACUGGCUGGUUCGGCUGAAUAAGCCCAACGUUCUGGGUGAGGUCUUGCUGGGCAUCCUGGGUGUGAGUCCUUUCCCAAUUCCGCUUUAAAACACGGUAGUCAUGUUCUAGCUCAACAUUCCUGCAAUGAAGGUGCUCGUAUUUUUCCGACAUUUUAGUGACACUGUCGCGGAGGCGCUCCACUUCUGCCUGGAGAGUGGCAUCUUCCGAAGAUUUCCUUCUAGAAGUACCAUCGCGGGGGGUAUGAUGCUGGGUAUCGCGGCUAUCCUCGGUCGGCAUAGCGGAAUAUGGGGUGAAGAAGAGGCGACGGGGCCUGAUGGGUGAAGGAGCCAGCUGGGCUGAUAGAGAAAGAGGGGAUUCAAGUGUCGAAUUUCCACAGACGGCGCCAAACUGUUGAUGCUCAAAAUGGCAUGGCCAAUAGUGAGUCCAACUUAAUGAUUAGGUAUGCGGGGUCUUCAGCAGGGAAGAGAGCUGAGGCCCUUAGUGAAAUAUAGGUUGAUGGGAAACCUGCAGAAGACAAAGUGGGAGAAGCAAUCGUUAAGCUUCGGACACCGGUGUGGUGCCGGCCGAAGGCUCUCCGAUGCCUAAGUCAGUUACAAGUAGUAAUUCUGGCAGAGUAACAGUAAAAGUGGGAGAAUAGUUGUCCUUUUUACCUGGGUACUGUUCCCUAUUUAUAGGGAAGUGAAAGUGGGAACUUUGCACAAAGUUCCAAUGUGGGACUUUGUGCAAGUCGUUGUGGUGGCGACACGUGUCCUGGAGAUUAGGUUUGGCAGCUGGGAGCUUCGGCAGGUGUCUGGCACCUCGGAAAUGUGUCUUCCUUCGGCAGGGGAGAAGGCGUGGCUGUCUUGGUGCUAGUCGCUUUGGUGCUGGGUCUGCUCGGUUCAUUAUGGUGUAAACAGAAAGAACUCAGAGUGUAGCAAAGGUAUUAGUUGGGCAAAGUGGGUGCAUUUGUGUUUUGCAAAGGAUGAAGGUGGAAUAGGGUUUAGAGAUCUGGAGUCUUUCAACAAAGCGCUUGUGGCUAAGCAAUGUUGGAGACUUCUUACCAAUGAACAGACCAUGAUUCAUAAGGUGUUAAAAGCUCAAUAUUUUCUAAAUUGUAAUUUUUUGGCAGCUGGUAAAGGAAGAGCUUCUUCAUAUAUUUGGAGGUCUUUGAUUUGGGUUGUGAGUUGCUCUUGAGUGGGUUAAGGAAGAGGAUUGGAGAUGGACAAGAAACACUAGUCUAUGGUGAUGCUUGGAUUCCUAGACCUAACUUUUUCCGCCCUAUUUCCUUUCAAGUGUUGGAUCAAGAAACUAAAGUAAGUGAUUUUAUUUUUCCCAUUGGGAAUUAGAAUGUUGAUUUACUAAAUUUGUGUUUUCAUGAGGAAGAUGUUGAGUCUAUUACAUCUAUCCCUUUGAGUGUUAAUUAGCACAAAGAUGGAUGGAUUUGGCAUUAUACUACUAAUUGAAUUUAUUAUGUGAAAAGUGGAUAUAGGCUGGAUAUGUCAAAGAAAAAGGAAUGCAGUGGGGCUGUUGGAUCGUCUUCGGAACCAAGAAUACGAAGUGUUUUCUGGAGAAAAGUUUGGUCCAAAGAGGUACCAGAAAAACUCUUAUAUUUUAAUUGGAGAGCUAUUAAAAAUUAUCUUCCUUGUAGAUCUAAUCUGCUGAAAAGGAAAAUAAUUUCUGAUGACUCUUGCCCUAUUUGUAAUGUGAAUUCUGAGAGUGUAAUUCAUGCUUUGUGGAGUUGUCCUAAUGCCCAAAAAGUUUGGAAAAAAGUGAUGUUCAGGGAGGUUUUUACAGGGCUACACUUUUACAACUACGGGGAUUUGUUUGAAAUUGCCACUAUGUAUCUUUCAAAGUAUGAAAUGCUCUUGUUUUUAUAUAUCUGCUGGAAUUUAUGGCAAAACAUAAAUAAAGUUGUUAUUGAAGGUCGUUCUUAUGCACAAAAUGUGAUUUUCAACAGAGCUCAUUACUUGGCUGAUGAAUAUAGAAGUCUUGUGAAAGGGGAACCUAAAUUAAUUGUAGAGAAACAAACCAAAUGGUCUCCUCCUCCGGUUGGUAAAUAUAAACUGAAUGUUGAUUCUGCUUUUAUUCCCAAAACAGGUGUGGGUGGAAUUGGUGCUGUUGUUAGAAAUAGGGGUGUAAGUUGGAUUGGAAAAUCCGAUUCCGGUCCAAAAUUUUCACAAAAAAAUUCGACUCCGAUAAAUCCGAUAUCCGAUAUUUCCGAUAAAUGCCGAAAAUUCCGCAAUUCCAAUACGAAAAUAUUCCUAAGUUCUCCAAACCCAUUCUGAAUCGAUUUUUCCAAUUUUUUCCGGAAAAUUCCGAGUUUCUAAUUUUAAUUGCAUUAUUUUUAGUGUAUAGGUCUUAUAUAUGUUUCAUUUCUCUUAUUUGUUAUCUUUUUGUACCCACCACAUACAAAUAUUCAUAUAUACUAUCAUAGGGGCUCUCUCUCCCAAAAAAAAAUAAACAUAAUAAUUUAUAACUUUAAGAUUAUAUUUGACAAAUGUGCUUGUUUCUUUUUUGUUGGAGUAAAUGUGCUUGUUUGAAUAUAACAAAAAUGCAUAUGUGUGAUUGUUAUAUCCAAACCUACUACAUACGUGGUAAACUAUUCCAUCUAUGUACGUAUUUUAAAAUUUUAAACCAUCUUCAUUCAAACUUUUAAUUAUAAAAUUAUUUUAUACAAAACACCACAUAUAAGAUAAACAUAUUGGAGCUUGACAAUUAUAGUGUUCCAAUUGUCUAGAGCAAGACUAACAUAUUCAAUGCAAGUUUAUCACUCUUUACACACAUAACAUGUAACUAUUUUGAUUAAGAAUGAACAAAUAGUAUAGAUUGAUGUAUAUACAUACAGAGAGCUUUAGGAUUCGAGAAUGCGUUUGAUAGGUUAAUUGGACAACAAUUUUAUAAAACAAAAACAAUGAAAAUGUGAUAGUACAAUUUGAGAAUAAGGGAAAUAGAAAUGCUGCAUCAUGUAUCAAUAUAUAUGAACUACUUUUUUUUCAUCCAAAUUUAUAUUAACUACUUUUUAAAGACAUUUGUGUUCAUGUCUCAUCUAGAAAAAAGGAAUGUAAUUUAAAAAAAAAAAAGAAUAAAAAAUUUAUCCUGUAAAUAAAAUAUAGUUUAAAAAUAUAAUAAUAUUCUAAAUCUUUAAAAAACACCUAAAAUUAUCUUAAACGAAAAACCCAUAGGGUCAGAAACAAAAACAAAAAAAACCCAUCUGGCACAACCCCACCUCUGCCAUUAUCUUUAACUCUCUCUCUCUCUCUCCCAAACGCACCCAUGUGCACCUCCACUCUCUUUUUUCCCCAGUUCUAUUUCUCCCCCUUCGCCUCUUCUUUUUUCUCCAGGAAAGCCUCUUAAUUGGUAUCAAAAUUCUUCACUGUGGAUGGUUAAUUGGGAACAAUUUUUUGUACUAUAAUUUUACAAUUUGGAAGAAAUUGAAACAUCAAUUGAAUUCACUAAUACAAGUUCGAGGGUACAUGAUUACUGUAACAAUUAGGUCAAUGAUGACAAGAGGAAGAAGAUGGCAUUCUUGGGUUUCUUGAUAAGUUGGGUCUAGGAGAUGGGACUUUCAAGUUUCAACGCUAGUGUUGUCUUGAGUUUUGAUGGAGACAGACUGCGGGGAUGGAGUGCAAACCCAGAAAAAGAAAAAAGCAAGAGAAGAAACAGUAGAGAUAAAGAAUUGAAGAAUGAUUUCUUUUUUGGUUCGAGAAGUGUUUAUUUUGUUUUACUAAGGGGAUCAGUACAUAUUGUUCCAUAUCUGAAGAGGUUAAGUAAGAAAGAAAAUGAAGGUUGGCAUUCAUGGAUUAGACAUGAACAGUAGAGAGAAGAGAAGUGAUGGGGAGUAACUAAGUAGAAAUCAAGAAAAGAGUAGAGAGAGAAGUUGCAGUUCUAUUUUUGCUUGGAGUCCCACAUUGACUGCAAGAAUAAACUUCAAGUGUUUCAACCUUUAUAAAUAUCUUCACCCUCAGCCAUUUUACGUAUAGACCUAAAGCUCUACAUCUUUGGGCUUGUCAAGUUAUAGUUCAAUGGAGCUAGUUAUGAAACUCCUAAGUUGGGCAUUAUUAAUAAAAGUUUAGUUGAGAUUUUUACUAAUGUUAAAUUAGGCAUUUAAAUCUCUUAAUAUUUCAUUUUGUCAAGGAAGAAUACAACAUUUCAGAAUCGGAAAGUUCCGAAAAUUCCAGAAUUUUUCGAAAUUGGAAUCGAAAGUCUGUAUUGAAUUCCGAAAGGUUUUGGAUUGAAAUUGGAAUCUCUAUUUCUGAUCCGAUCCGGCCGAAUUACACCCCUAGUUAGAAAUGACAAAGGGAAAGUGAUGGUGGAUAUGACCCUUCGUCUUGCCACUGCCACCUCAUCUAAACAUGCAGAGAUCAUAGCGCUUCGUUUCGGGAUGAAAUUUGCUCGGGAUGCUGGCUUUUCUUCUAUUCUAAUUGACUCUAAUUCUCAAGGGGUGGUAAAUGAUGUAAAGAAGGAUGAGGAAGAGUCGUGGGCAUCAGAUGGGCAUCUUAUUGAUUAUAUUAAAAGGAGUCUGCAACACUUUGAAGAAGUUACUAUCUCUUUUAGUCCAAGAUGGUGUAACCAAGCAGCUCAUUUUCUAGCAAGACAUGCUCUUAAUUGUAAUACUAUGGUAACUUGGAUUGAAGAGGUUCCCUUCUGGCUGAAAUCAAUUGUAAAAAAUGACAUUGUUGUAUCCUCUUAUUAAUUAUUAUGAAUGAGAAUGAGUUCUUCUUUUGGAAAAAAAAAAAGAAAAGAAAAAAAGAAGUUCUAAUCGUACACAUGCAAAUCAGAGCAAAUUUACCCUUUUUUUUUUCUUUUUUUUUUUCUUGAAAUGCUGAAUUCCAAUUUUUUUAUUUUUUUAUUUAUGUUUAGGAACCUGUAUAUCGGGAGUAAGCAGUGACCAAACCAACCAUAGGACGACAUGAACGACGAUCAAAGUCUCAGACAGGAUCUGGACCCCCAAAGCGACCACAGCUCCGACUACCUCCCUCACCACCCCCACCAUCCCUCCCACCCUCUCCAACCCCAACAACAACCUCAGCCUCAGCCCCGCCGACCUCGUGGCUUCGCCGCCACAGCUGCCGGGUCCGUGGGCCCCACCAGUCCCUCCACCCCCACCACUAAUAAGGGCAAGAGGGAGAGGGAGAGGGAGAAGGAGCGCACGAAGCUUCGAGAACGGCUCCGUCGAUCCAUCACGAGCCGGAUGCUCGCCGGCCUCCGUCAGUACGGCAACUUUCCGCUGCCUGCGCGUGCAGAUAUGAACGAUGUCCUCGCAGCCCUCGCACGUGAGGCCGGCUGGGUUGUCGAGGCCGACGGCACCACUUACCGCCAAUCUCCCCCUCCCUCCCAAAUUGUCUGUACAUUUCUAGUUUCUAAUUUCUCAUUGUUCUUCUUUCUGUUUUUAACUUUAUUUAAAGGAAUAAUAAAAAUUAUUAUUGUUAUUUGAAAUUGGUGACAGGCAAUGGGCAUGAGGUCGGUAGAGAGUCCAGUUUCAUCAGGUGUUAGAGCAACAAAAUCACUGGAGUGUCAUCCUCCUCACAACCCAUCAUCAGUUGUGAGAAUUGAUGAGAGCUUGUCACCAGCAUCUCUUGAUUCUGUUGUGAUUGCAGAGAGAGACACCACCAAGAAUGAGAAAUUUUCAAGUGGUGGAAGCCCCAUCAACUCUGUUGAGGCUGAUCAGCUCAUGCAAGACCUUCCCAUCAGACCUGGUAACCAUGGCAUUGGCACCACUGCUUUUUCUACACCCAAUCCCUAUGUUCCUCUCUAUGUAACACUUGCAGUAAGUAAAUUCUUCAUCUUUUUUUUUUUUUUUUUCUGCGCUUUCUGACUGCUGAUUGUCAAAUUCUAAGACGAACCAUGUUUAUUUUGUUUUCAGAUAUUUGUAAAUCUAGGUUUUUUAAGUGAUACAAUUCUUGGGGCUUGUUUGGCAGACUGGGUUCAUCAACAAUUACUGCCAGCUGGUUGAUCCUGAAGGCUUAAGACAGGAGCUAACUCAUAUGCAAUCUUUAAGUGUAGACGGUGUUGUCGUGGAUUGUUGGUGGGGUAUUGUUGAAGGAUGGAGCCCCCAGAAAUAUGUUUGGUCUGGUUAUAGAGGUCUUUUUAACAUUCUCCGGGAGUUCAAGUUCAAAUUGCAGGUACUUCUCUCUGAUUCAUUGAUAAAGCUUAGGGAAGCGUAAAUUAUUUUGAAUAGCUGAACCAUCAAAAUUAAGCUUAAUAAAAUUUGGAUUAAAAGGUUUCCAUUUAAUAUCACAAGGCUUAGUAUCAGCAAACAAUUUGAGUGAUGCAUAUGAUUAGUCAAACACAUGUUGAACUUGUCUAAGACUUAUCCGAACACAUGUAUGUCUAAACUGUUCUUAAAUUUUCAUGGAUAAUGAACCAAAAUUAUUGAUAUCUUCUCCAACAGGCACUCAAAGGAGCACACAUGAAUUUAACAAGUAGGCAUAAUUGGAAAUUUACAUCAGUUCUCUCUCUCUCUCUCUCUCUCUCUCUCUCUCUCUCUCUCACGCACACACACACACACACACACAUCUUUUUCUGUUCUUUUUCCCCUCUAAUUGAUAAAAUUAUAUUCAAUGUAUCAGAGCCUCUAAUUUUCCUUUUCUUUUGUUUACUGAGCGCACAAGGAAACUUGCUGGGAAUUUUAAAUUCCUUAGUUUCCAUUCUGUGUUAAUUUAAGGCCAAGAUAAUGUUGUUUCAGAGAAAGUUUAAGCAUGUCACAUAGAAAUGGAGCUAUCCAGAUUCUUAAUGUAUUGGAUGGUCAAAAAAGCAGUGCAAUUUAAUUUUUUUUCUUCAAAUAGGACGAAUCAAAUUAGAUGACAGUUGGGUUUAUGAAACUUUUGUCUCUUGGAGGUGCUUUUUUUUAUUUUUUAUUUUGUCAUGUGGUAAUGUUGGUCUAUGUUUUCCCAAAAAUGUUGUGGAGUUUUUAACUAUUAUAUCAUCAUAAUCUAUCAGGAUUUUGGUCCUUGAUUAAGGAAUAUAAAUGUAAGUUUCAGUUUGUGGCAACUCCUUUAUAGAGCCAAACUUAUGGGAGGCUCUGUCAAGCUCAUUUGUGUAUGAAUGCAUAUAAUUCUUGUAGGUGAUUAUGAGCUUGUAUACUGUCUAAGUUGUGGGCCAGAAAUUUUUUAUAUCUGUUAUUCAUGCUGUAAAAUAGCUACACCUAUGAAGACAUUUCUAUUUUCAGAAUACUUUCAAGUUUUCUUGCAGUAGAUUGAGUGCUUGAAAAUGCAUCACUGCUUAGACCUUUCACUCUUCCACUGCAAUCUCCUAUGGUUUCAAACAAAAGAAUGUAUUUUGUUAAGAUGCAUUCUUGCUACUUCCUAAUCUUGUAACCCAAGGAAGUUUUAAUUUGAAUAGGUUCUUAUUCUAUAUUGGAGAAUCUUGCACGCUGUUGAUGAAUGGUUUCUGAAAUCAUUUUGCUGAAGGUUGUAAUGGCAUUUCAUGAAUAUGGAAGAAGUGAGUCCGGUGAAGCCCUGAUCCCUCUUCCACAGUGGAUCUUAGAGAUUGGUAAGGAAAACCAGGACAUAUUCUUUACAGAUCGAGAAGGAAGGAGGAACACUGAAUGUCUAUCUUGGGGCAUUGAUAAAGAAAGAGUUUUACAUGGAAGAACUGGUGUCGAGGUAUGAAAAUAUCUGAAUGAUGUUGAGGCAUUCUGUCUUUUACGCUUGGACCAUGAGAUUAUUGCGUCCAUGUUUUGUUUUGUUUUACUGUUUCAUUUAUGCUGUCCUCCAUUAUAUGCCCCUAUGCCAUUUCAUUGUUUAUAUGGUUAAUUGUUAACUCCUUUUUUUGUUUAUUUUCUGUUGGGCCUACUUUUGUCAGUUGAAACUUAUUUACUUAUUGUUUCUGUUGUUCUUUGCUUUCUUCAUGCAGGUCUAUUUUGAUUUUAUGAGAAGUUUUCGCACUGAAUUUGACGACUUGUUUGCUGAGGGUCUUAUUUCUGCUGUGGAGAUUGGGCUUGGAUCAUCUGGGGAGCUUAAGUAUCCUUCCUUUUCAGGAAGGAUGGGAUGGAGGUAUCCUGGUGUCGGUGAGUUUCAGGUAUCUAUUAAAGCUAAACCAUAAUAUUUGUUGAAAUUAUUGUGUAUCCACUUAGAGUCUUUUCGUCCGUGUAUUCUGCAGUUUAAAUUAGACAAGAAAAGGCUUUCUAUUUCCUCACAGGUCUUGAUUCACUAUUUUAUUUCACAUCAGUUUGGAAGUAUUCCCUCUUUUCCUUCCAUCUUUCCGUCUUUAAAUAUGAUAUAAUGGCAAAGAUGGAGAAAGUAUUGUUUCCUUCAUGUUGCUUCAACUUUGUGGCAUUUAUUUACUGCAUUUCGUUUGUUCCUGAGAAAGUAUUGUUUCCUUCAUGUUGCUUCAAAUUUUAGACUCUGCAUUGCAAUUGUUUUGAAAUUUAUUAAUCACUUGUUUGCAGUGUUAUGAUAGAUAUUUACAACAAAGUCUGCGGCGAGCGGCUAAAUUGCGUGGGCACUCAUUCUGGGCCAGGGGACCUGAUAAUGCUGGUGAAUACAAUUCUCGGCCGCAUGAAACUGGCUUCUUUUGUGAGCGCGGUGAUUAUGAUAGUUAUUACGGGCGCUUUUUCCUUCAUUGGUAUGCACAGUCACUAAUUGACCAUGCGGAUAAUGUACUGUCUCUUGCAAGCCUUGCCUUUGAUGAAACCAAAAUAAUUGUCAAGGUGUGUAUCUGGCCCUUUUUUCCCCACUGACUAGCUAUGAUUCACUAACUAUGCGUUUGGAUGGAAGGAGUGGAAGGGAAAAAUAGGUGGGACCAUAGGUUCCCUUGUUUUAGUCAAAAGGGUGGUGUGCAUUGGUUAUAAAGGUGUAUAUUGUUUUAGUCGUUCAUAAUUUGAAAUCCCUACUUCACCAAUCAACUUAUGAGAGAAAAUGAAGGAUGUACCACUCUCCCUUAUAUCAGUUUAACUUAAAAACUCCCAAACAUACUGUAAGUGACACCAUCAAUGCCCCUAAUAAAAUCCAUAAUUUGGUUCUUGUACUCAUGGAUGAUGAAUCUGUCUUCCUCUUCCUUUACGCUUGCUUCUGACCAGUAUAGGACACCGAUACAAAGGCAACGAAGAGUGGCCUGCAUACGACCCGGAAUUUUAUGUUUGAACCAGAUUUUGGGAUGUUGAGAGAAGUUGGUGUUAUACUGUUUCAUGAUGAUGAUUCAUCAACUUCAGUUUCCUUACAAGCACGCACAUGUUGGUGUACUUGAACAUCUUUCAUCGUGGCUCAUGACUCCUAAAACUAUACAACUCUGCCUGUCUAGAUGAUGUUAGGCAUUUAGAAUUCCGUUUAUGCAUGAAUUGGUGAUGAUUUCUUAUGAUAUUCCUUUAGUCUCAAAAUCCAGCAUAAAAGUAGUAUACAGAUUAGUUAUGUUCAGUCUAGUCGGACCAACCUAGAAAUGGCAUAUAGGUACGUUACAUUGAGAAAUCCCAACAUCAAGCCUAGAAAUAGUAUAAUGAUUUGUUAUACUUAAACUGUCUGAUAUUCAUUGACAUUGCUGUAGUGGUGUGUGCCGAGAACUGAACCAAGGGGAUGCAUGGUCGUGAUGUUCUUAAAGUCCUAUCAUGGAAUUGUUAAAUAAUGAAAAAAUAAUUAAAAGAUGCAAAUGUGCAGGUUCCUGCAGUCUAUUGGUGGUAUAAGACUUCCAGCCAUGCAGCCGAGCUAACUUCUGGGUACUAUAACCCAACAAACCAGGAUGGGUACUCUCCAGUUUUUGAAGUUCUGAAGAAACAUUCAGUGACAGUGAAGUUUGUUUGCUCAGGACUGCAUAUAUCGAGUCAGGAUAAUGAUGAAGCACUGGCUGAUCCAGAAGGUUUGAGUUGGCAGGUGAUGGCCCUUGCUCAUGCCCCUUCUCUUUGAGCUCUGUAGCUGUUUAUAGUGUCAGUAUUGCUAGUGGCUUUGGUCAAUGCUGAGUGAACCCUAGAAUUCCCUGAUGUUUGAAAGGCAACAACUCAGUAUGAAUUGUCGAACUAGGCAGUUUUAAAUAUAAUUUAAAAAGUAUGCUUAAUGACGUGGAUAUGUUUAUCUGUAUUCGAUUUGAGUGACGCUAGCUUCUCAUUUGUUCCUGCAGGUUUUAAAUUUAGCCUGGGAUCAAGGAUUGCUUGUAGCUGGUGAAAAUGCACUUUCAUGUUAUGAUAGAGAAGGAUGCAUGAGAAUAGUUGAGAUGGUCAAGCCAAGGAAUGAUCCUGAUCACCGCCAUUUUUCAUUUUUUGUAUACCAGCAGCCAGCUCCUCUAGUUCAAGGGGCAAUUUGCUUUUCAGAGUUGGAUUUUUUCAUUAAGUGCAUGCAUGGUAAGUAUUCUCACAGAGCAAUAACAUUUAGUGAGAAGUAUUCAAUUUGAUGGUGUUUUUGGAUAAUUUGGUUGGUGUUUUUUGAUAAGGAAAUUGAUGGGUGUUCAAACAGUGCAUUAGCAUGAAAUUCAUAUAUUCCCUUUUUUGUUCUUCGCUUCUUUUUCACUAUUUUCUUCAUUCACACUUCAAAGAAAAAGUAUUUCAUACUUUGUUGUAGCCCUAAAAUAGUUCUACUUAAUGGUCAAAAGCAAAUACAUCGUAGUUACCAAAAAGCUCCUUAGACAACAGGGAUUCGAAUGUGCUGUAGGACGUACCACUGUACAGUUUCUUGAUGGUUUCUUGCUGUUACAUUUAGCUGAGAUAAAAUUGCCCAAUUUCAACUGUGCACUUUUUAAGAAGCAUUUUUCUCUGAACUGUAACAACUAAAGACACAGGCGACUUUGUGACAUACAGGUGUCAUUAGAUCAUUUUCUGUGGUUACCAGGGAUACAGAAAAGAAAAGGUCGUGAUGUGUUGCCAAUAUUACUUAUUAGAGGUGUCCUUUAUUAAAAUGGUUAAGAGUGGGAUUAUUCCUUUUGGCUUGGUUAGGCAUAGUCUGCUUGUUCAGGAGUUAAUAGAUGGCUGGAUGCUAUUACCACUACAAGAUUGUGGUCUCCAUAGCUCAUGUUUUAAUUUAACUUUUCCUGCAGCUGCUUUUGGCCCAUAGAUAUUGUCUUUCACCUAAAUUGUAGUGAUGAUAACUGUCUGUUUAAAAACUUCAUCAAGAAUAAAUCAGCAUUAAUCUUACAAAGCUUUUCCAAUUGCGUUUGCAGGUGAGAUAGCUGGAGAUCUAGUAUCGUGUUAAAGAUUGAAUUCUGUGUUCUUUCAGAGGAUGUUAAAUAACAGGGAUGGACUUUUCAAUUGCUCAUGCUGGUUUCAUCCAAGGUAAAAGGAGACAUGAGGUUCGAAAGUUCCAUAAUAGUUGUUCUAGAUUUCAGUAUGAAUUGUUCCGGCCAAAGAAGUGACAGCAUAAACUUCAACUUCAAUUUGUGGUGUCGUCUAACUCAUGUUUCUUCUAAAGGCAGUUUCAGAUCACAGAAGAAAAAAAACGAACGAAAAAAGAGGCAGUUGGUAUGUGGUGCAAAGCCAUUUGUAACUUUUGUUUUUUUGAUUCCUCUCUCUUUGUUUUGUAGUAUUAAAAGGCAUAUUUAGCUGUGUAAAUAAAGUUUGUGUAAUUUAACAAAGACGCUCAGAUCAAAACAGAAGGGAUUGGAUUGAACAGAAUUGAGCAAGAAAGUGGUUCAGUCAAAAUUAAUGGAAUCAUCUUUUGAACUGUGGUUUUAACAGAUUAACGUUUCUUCUGUUAUGAAUUGGGCCCAGGCCCCAGAACAAAACAAGAAGACAAGAAAACUAUCCACUUUAGAAUGUUUUACUCUGAAUGUUAUGUAUCUAUGAAUUUUUGCAAACAAAUGUGAAAUAGUUACUGAUUAAGAUUCUCUCAGUUUGAAAAAGUGUUUAUAUUUUAGAUGACGAGCUCCCAUGCCCCCAAGGGAUGUUUUCAAAUGUAUAAGAGUUUUUCAAAUCACAAGAAUAAAGCUCGUUUGGUAUUAGAGAUUUGAGUGGGAGGAUUUUGGAUAUGGAUUGGGCCCAAUUUAAGUCAUUGGAUUUGGAGUUGACCUAAAUUCAUCUAAUAUCAUAGGUCGAAACAUGGUAUGUGAAAUAACUUAUGAAAUUAGAAAUUUGGAAAGCCCAAUUUAAGUAAUUGGAUUUGGAGUUGACCUAAAUUCAUCUAAUAUCAUAGGGCGAAACAUGGUAUUUGAAAUAACUAUGAAAUUAUAAAUUUGGAAGGAUUUCAACAAAUUUUUUUAGUACAAGCGAUAGUCAAAACUAAGAUGCCACAGAGGUUCGAACUUGAGACCUUUAAUAAGUCAAGAUCUUUUUCUACUAGGCUAGACCCCAUUGAUAAGAAUUUCAACAUUUUUAUUCUUCAUUUGCAUUUCUCUACUCUCCAGCUCUCUCCCUUUCGUGCAUGGUUACAUGAAAUUAGGACUGGGUCCACAAUUGAAUGAAGAGUUGAGAGGUCUUAGAUACCGGAUUUUGGGAUUGGAGUGCAAUGCAUGAGCGGGAUCAUCAUUUGGCUCGCAGUCCGCUAGUCGAAGUGGGUAGCUCGAGAGCCGAUGGGCCAAAGCCCAGUCUAGCCUGAUGGUUAGGUCCGCUUGGCUCGAUUCGUUCUAAGGUUGGAUAGGGUUUGGACUUAGGAUUUGAAACCUUCGGCCUGCCCAUGGCCCGACCCAACCCGAAUAGGCUCGCCCAUAGCCUUAUAUUGCCUUAUUUCCAUCCCAAACGUUUAAGUAAAUGUCUUGUUUUUUUACUUUAAUUUAUUUCUAUAUUAUUCUAUUUACUUAAGUUUACAAUGUAUGUAGAAUUGGUAAAUGAAAAAAGAGGGAAAAAAGAGUGAAAAAGAAAAUGGAAGAAUGAAAACAUUUUAGAAUAGUUUAAAAAAAAAACCAGUCUUUUGAAAAUAAAGAGGAACAUAAAAAAAUGAACCCAUUUAAUAACCAAUUUUCAGUUUCCAGUUUUCAUUUGUGAAAAAUUGCAAACAGGAAACUUUGUUUAGGGUAUUCGCAUUGGGUGCCCAAAAUUGUGCCACGUGCCUAAUGCGCCUCCAAAUUAACUUUGAAAAGAAAAAAACAAAAAGAUUUCGCUUCGGCUGCGUAAUUUUCAUUGGUGGUAACAGUCUGAUUUUUUGGCGCUUUUAAACCGACUUUCCCUGAAGGGGAAGAUACAGACAAAGCCCAAACCCUAAUCUCUAAACAACAGCAACGGUUCUGAGAAAAUUUCAUUUCAUUUUCCUCGACUUUCCUUCGCUCUCCUUAAACUCAUCUCAAUGGCGACUGAAUCAGCAGAUUCGUACAUUGGGAGCCUCAUCAGCCUAAUUUCCAAGUACGAAAUACGUUACGAAGGUGUUCUCUACUUCCUCAGCGUCCAAGACUCCUCCAUUGGCCUAAAAAACGGUACGUUUUGCUGUUCCAUUUUUUCAUCUGUCUGUGAUUUUCGCACUUUCACAUUUACAGAUAUAAUCGCAUGUGUGUUUGAUUGAUAAAAUGUCCCUAACAAUCGGUACGCUCGGCUAGGGUUUAGUUUUUUCCCUGUUUUUUUCCACAAAUCUCUGUGUGUGCAUAUACAAGUAUGUAUGCUUGUGAAGUUCUUAUGUAUUUGGUAUUUGGAUCAUAUUUCUGGCAGUGUAUGUAAUUUCUAUCAGAAACAUUAUCUCAAAUGUGUAUAAAUGAAUGUAUUUUGUGCUGCUAAGUUGUUGUAGUUUAUAUCUGUCAGUUCUCAAGGAACGGGGUUUAAUUGGACAAUAAAUUCUUGCUACAAACCACAAAUUAUUUAGUUCGGCAAGAAAUCCUUCUGUGAGCUUGAAAAUAAAGCAGUAUUUUAAAGAACAUUUUGCUUGCAAUCUAAUUGUUUUUUCAUGGUAAAGUUUUCAUCAUACUCAUUAGAUGUAAUCUUCCACCAUAUCUUUUUAUAUUGCGUCGAAACUUGUAAGUUACAGUACUAAGGGUUAACUUUGUUAUUAAUGUUCUGUGGUCAACAUCAUGCAAUGUUCUUAAGGUCUUGAGAUCUUCUAGGUAAUAAAAUGAGAAAGAGAAAGAGAUGAGUCAGUUCAAUGUUUAUAAUGUCUUAAGUUUUCUAUCAAGUAAUUUUCUAUUUUUUCAAAGACUUUUUUAUACACUAGUUGCACUUAGGUGAAAUUGCUAUCUGUUCUACUUAUGUUGUGCAUACAACGUGUGUGCAUAGACAACGUUUUAGCACACCCAGUUUACAGUCUUCAUACCUGAAUUUUAGUUAAAAUUAAAACAUCCGUAGGCAUAAGUUACAUAAAACUCUUCUUGUCUUCUAUAGUUGGGAAAUCAAACAUUUUGAAUGUAUCGACUUCUGUAUGAUAUUGCAGUUAGGUCAUAUGGAACAGAGGGGCGUAAGAAGGAUGGCCCACAAGUUCCUCCAAAUGAUAAGGUUUAUGAAUAUAUUCUGUUUAGAGCAAGUGACAUUAAGGUAAGAGGGAGACAUAGUAUACUUGAUUACUGUUUACUCUUAUAUCAUUUUCCUUUUAUUUAUUUUGUUAGUUCUUGCUUUGAGGUGGCAGGUUUUUAUUUUAUUUAUUUAUUUUUAAUUUUAAAAUUUUUUGUCUUGGACAUGUCAUUGUAAUUCCUAUUAUUUUGUUUUUUGUUUAUUCUUUAUCUUCAUUGUAAAUUUCCUUUAUACCAUGCUUGUAAUUUGUAAGUUUACUGGAAGAGACAAAUUUUUCUGAUUCUAAAUUGAUGUAGAACCAGAAGAGAAGUAGACAAAGGUUAGAAAAUAGGGAGAACCAGAGAAAAACACAUGAUAGAGGUCUAAGCAGAGAAGAAUGAGAGAUGGAAGAGACUGAGAAGGAGAAAGGCAAGUUAGGAUAAACUCAAAUUCUUUGUUAUCAAAUCAGAUAGGUGAAAGUAUCAAAUUCCAAUCAUAAUAAGGCCAGUUUAUAUAUGCAAUCCUAUAAGAUUAUAGUCGCAUACCAAUUAUCAAUAAAGCUAAUAAAUAACUAGCCCCCAAGUUCCAUGUUAAUUAAAUAUAAUUUAAACUUAAGAUUUUGCCUACACACAAAAUUUUCUUCUUGCAUUCAUCAUUAAUUUUGUAGGCAUUUGUUCUCCCAUUGGAUAAUAUCAUCAAUCAAAACUCCUUUAUAACGUAGAUAUUUGUAUCUUUAUUACAUUGAUGCAUAAGAGAAAGAAAUAGAGGAGGGAGAGGAAGAGAGGAAGUGGUUAGGGUUUCAAUUUUAUAAUAGUUCCUAAUUCCAGUCAUCUUAGGUUUUUUUGAUGCCUAUUAUAUAUAAUCGGCAGUCCAAAUCUGCUAAGGAAAUCCUGACAGUAGUAGAAAUAUGGAUCCUAAUAGUUUAAGAAAUCUUAAUUUAAAUUAAUGAAACCCAGUAUAAGAUAAAAAUCCCAAAGUUGAAAUAAAAUGGGAAGGUCCUAAAUUGGUACAAACCUACUUACAUCAUUUUUCUGGCUACAAGAAUUUGAAAUUUUAAUAACACUCGGGUAGUGCCAUUCAUACUUGUUGAAAAGGUUGAAGUGAGGUGAAGACCACCAUCAGCAUCAGGGUUCGUAGCCCUAGGCUUGAAGAUCUAGGACUAAUCUGAGCAUAUGAUGGUGUUUCAAAAGGGUAACUAUAGGCUCUCCAAAUCAACAUGAAAAUUAUCAUAUGUUCUCACAAGAAUCAUUGUUAAGUCAUGGCUGAAAACAAAAAUCCAAGGACAACUAAGUAGAAGUUUAGAGUGUAGCUGCAUAUCAUUCUUUGUGGAGUUGGGUUAUGGAUGUUAAAAACGAUAUUGGAAGUUUAAUGUCCCAUUGAUGGUAACUGGUGAAGGUUCUAGAUUCUUUAGAGGCUACUAAUUUUAUGUUAAUCACAGAUUGUGAUGCAAGGAUUUCUUGAGGCAUGUUGCUCCUUUUUUUCUGGGUGAAAGGCAUGCUGCUCUUUGAAUUUUUAGUAUGUAACAUAGACAGAGAUUACCCUGCUCUGUGUGUGCGUGUGUGUGUCUAUAAUAUCUCUGUAAACCUCUUUAAAAGCCUCUACUUCACUCUAUAGCUGUUUUGGUUGAUCUUAAAUUCUUACUGAUCUAGCUCACUAUAAAGAAAAAAAGGUGCAGUUCUGUCAACAAUUUCUUUAAUUAUAUAAUGGGGAAACUGAGAAACUUGAGCAUGCAAUGUUCUGCGUGACUGGCCUUUUAAUUGGUUUUCUUCUCUAUGUUGUAUGAAAAUUAUUGCAUGUAUCUGGCUUUUUAUCCUACUUGUGGUUUACAUGACCUUUUUAGGCAUGAGACCCCCUGUGAUGUUCAAACUGACAUCUUUAUCAGCAUCACCUUAAGUAUAUUAUUGUCCUUUUCCCUAUUCUGCCCUCUGUUUUAUUAGUUUUUAUGUGGCAUGGAAGGUGAUACUUCAACUAGCUCUCUCUCUCUCUCUCUCUCUCUCUCUCUCUCUCUCUCUCUCACUCUCUACCCUUCCCUCUCUCCCAGAACACAGAUGUGCAUUUUUUUUCCUAGAUUUCUCUUAGAGCAUGAGAUGAUUUUAUGACUGAUGUUGAUGAACGAGAUCUCAUUUUGAUGAAAACGUGCCUAGACAAUUAAACAAACAAACAUAUUGGGAUGCUAAAUAUGAUAGACUAUUCAUGUACUGAAAAUGGGCCUAUUUUCACAAUUAUAGGAUUUGCAAGUUAAGUCUCAUCCGCCUGCUCAAAGAGAAGAACAAACUCACGAUGAUCCUGCUAUUAUACAGGUAUUGACAUUUGGUUAAAUACCUUUGCGCACAUACAGACACACUCACACAUUAAAUGACAUAUGCAUUUAUAAUCUCUAUGAGUAAAUUGGAAAAUAUAAUUUAUAUAUUUAUUUAUUUUCUUUGCAGUCACACUAUGCUGGGGUGCCUGUAAGUUCUCCAGCAUCAGCAUUAGUUGGAGGUAAAAAUUUGGUAGAAACAACUCAUUGGCAGGAUACCCCUGCUUUGACUAGUAGAGGCCAUAUUGGUGUAUUGCCUUCAUAUAAUUCUGCAAUUGAAGUUGGUACAUCAGGACAUUCCUCUUAUACUCAUAUUGCUAGUCCUCCAGCACUUUCUUUUCCGAUGUAUUGGCAAGGAUACAAUGGGGCAUCACUUGAUAUGUCUGAUCAUCCACAUCACCGUAUUCCUUUGCAAUCUCCAUCUGCUGUGUCACAGCCCUUGACAAUGCAGAAUAAGGCUCCUGAAAAUCACGCAUCUAUCGCUGUUGGCUUGGCCACUACAUCAGAAUCUCCGAACCCUAUAAUUUCAUCUUCUACACCAGCUUUUGUACAUCCAAACUUUUCUACCUCUGUCCCUUCUGUACAUUUUUCUUCCGGUCUUGAUAUGCCUACGUCCAUGGCUGCACAGGUAUCUUUACCAUCUCAUUCUAUACCUCUAAAUGCUAGCCGACUAACUAUGUCUUCGUUGCCUUCACCCUGCCAAGACUUAGACAUAAUUGAAACACAAAUUGCUACUAAAGCUGUUUCUGAUUCAGUACCUGUUCUACCUGCACAGUCCAUGCCUUAUCCUGGAUCGUUUUCUGUGGGUUCUGAUCGAGGUCCCUUGCUAACACCACCCCCAUCUUUGUUAACUCCUGAUCAAUUGGCACCAUCUAGAUCGCACAUACUUUCUUCCUCACAGAAACUCUACCUUGAUGGAAAGGAUAUGGGCAUUUUGAUGCCAACCUCAUCUGGAUCUUCAUCCUUGAUUCCUCCUGUAACUCGAGCACCAUUAUUGCCAUUGCCUACUUCCCAACAGGUGAGAUUCGAAAGUUGCAUUGUCUGCAUAUACUUUCUGAUAACUACAUUUCUCUUUUUUAAUCCUUGUUUAUUUUCAGAUAUUAAUGCAAUUGAUUGUGUUUUAUAAUCCAAAUAUGUUAGUGCUUCCAUAAUGAAGGCUCUGUGAACUUCUGCAUACUAGACUUAGACCUCAUAUUUCUGCAUUUUAAUGUGCUUUGUGUUUAUGAACUAUCAGAAUCCCAUAUAUCUAGGUUUAUCUUGACUACUGAAAAAUAAGAAAAUCUUUAGACUUUCAAGGAAACUUCCCGUCGAGAUGAAAAGUAUACGGAAACAGUUUUAUUUUAGCAAUUGUGACUUACUAAAUAGAGGAAUGUUAUUAGAACUAAGGAUGUUUUUUGGAUGAUCAAAUGCUUGUAUUUAGGCCCUGUAUACAGUGUAACUGAUCAUAUAUUUAACUCUAAUAGUUUUUUUGCUAUGUAUAAUAUAUAUCUUGGGGCUGGAAUUAUCACACAAUGACCUCCACGUUUGUUGUGCUUUUUGCUUGCUGGUGUGGUUGUGUGCAUGUGUGGAAUGGAUCGAGGCAGAAACAAGUGAUUUUGGAAGGAAGCUUGACCAGAAAUCUUAGAAGUGUGUAAUUGCAUUCUGAAGCACACAUUUCUCUACAUGAUAUGGAUGCAUGCACUUAAAAGUAGUGGAAGUGUGGUGUACAUUUAGAAGUGCAUUCCCACAUGGAAGUAUGGUUUUAUGAUCCAGUUUGUCAUGCCAUUUUGCUGUCGGUAUAUUGAGCAUUCUUGUUGUGCUUAGGGGAAAUAUGCAUCUUAUUUUCCUUUCGUAUCUUUCUGAAAAUAUUCACUUUAGCAGAAGCAUAGUUCUAUUUGUUUUAAUUUCUAGAUGUUUCCUGGAUUGAAUAUCAUGACUUGGCAUUCUGGUAAUCUAUUUCAUUGUUCUGUUAUAUAAUGCAGUCUCCAUACUCAGCUACACCGUAUACUGAGGAGUUUGAUUUUCUAGCCAUGAAUGAGAAGUUUAAGAAAGAUGAAGUAUGGGGUUACCUAGGAAAGGAAAAACAAAGUGACCAAACAGAAAGAGUGGAUAAUAGUGGAACUGGUCAAUGUGUGGAUGACAAAGAAGGUUCUGGCCUGAUACCCAACACAAAGGUAGGACAUGGAUUGUUAUAUACUGGAUCAUUUAGCAGUCCAGUGCAAAUUGUGAACUGUUGAUUAUUGAUUAUUUUUUGUUUGUUUCAUGUAGCCUGCGUAUAACAAGGAUGAGUUUUUUGACACAAUUUCAUGUAAUUCGCUCAACCGUGGAGGAAGAAAUGGACAUAGGUUUUCUGAGAGAAUGAGGCAGGAUACUGAGGUUUGCUAAGUUAUUGUUCUUUUUUUUUUUCAAUUGAAUAUUACAUACAAAAGUGAUAGUGAGUCAUAGUUGGGUGAUUUAGUAAUUUUGUGUCAUUAUUUCUUUUGCAGACAUUUGGAAAUUUCCAGCAGAGAUAUAAUCUUGCCUAUGGUGGUUAUGGUGCUGGACGUGGUGGUAAUUACCGGGGUCCAUAUCAAUGGGGAAGGGGAUAUGGCUACGGCGGGAGGGGACGUGGUGGUAACAUGCCCUUCUAAUGUCAAUUUGUGUUUUAAUGUUCACUCAAGGUCCAUGAUUGCUUGUCUAUGGUUUCUUUGUACCUCAUUCUAGACAUUGAGGACUGAAUCUCAAAGGUAAAUGUUGUGGACAUUUUGAGAUCUUCACGUUUGUUAGAGGAUUCGGCUGGUUCAUGCCGUUUUAGUGCCCAUGAACUGGCCUUUGCAUCUCUUGUUUAAUGCAAAUAUUGUCCAUUAUACAAUCAGUAGAAAUAGAAAUCAAAUGCUGGUGUAGUUUUUACUUCUGCUCUCUCUCUCUCUCUGUGGAAUGUCUUUGCAAGAGAGAAUCACACAUCUAAGUAAUAAAUUUAAGAAUAAACUGCAUAUGUUCAUUUAAUUAAUAGGAAUAAUUACCUCCUUUUUCCUUAAAAAACAUAAAUAAAAUAAUUUCCUCACAUUCUUUGUGUCAUUAUUUGUCCUCUUUUUGUUGAAGAUCCCUUUCUAGUAGAAUUGUUAAUUGUACGCAGUGGAGUCAGGCGGAUGAGGUUGUGAGUAAAUAAGUAGAUAGUGCUUUUCUUUAGUGGGUUGGGUUCCAAGGUGGUUGCUUUUUUCAAUCCACUGAAUGAAAAGAUCAUUUUGAAAAGUAUUUCUUUUGUCAAGUAUUAUUUUUUUGGUCAGGUAACAAACAAUGGAUACAAUGGAUAUUGUUACUAAACAUUCUUAGGGUGCAUUUUAAGGUCUGACAUUUUCAUGUUUUGGCAACCUUUUUUUUCUUUUGGUUCAUGUUAAAGGUAUUGCAAACCAAAGAGUAGACUUUAUAGAAAUUCAUAACAAACCAUGCCCUUUUGUGUAUUAAUAAAAAUUAAAAUUGUAGUGCAUCCUUUGGAAGUUGGAGUUUUGGGCUAUACUUUACUUUUUCAAUUUAGUAGAUUGGUGUCCUAUCCUGUUGUUUUGUUUGACAAAGUGAUAGUUUAAACUAUUCUAAUGUACGGGGAGGGCGAUUGAACUCGGGUGUAAGGGGUGAGGUGAGCACACUGUCUUGACCAACUGGCCUAACUCACGUAUGUGGUGGGGAGGGGAAUUGGUUGUUCUCUACACCAAAAGUUGUCUUUAUUCUCUAUGACUUUGUGUUCAACUUGCUUUGCUCUUUUGCUUUAGAACCUUCAUCAACUUGGGUCUGCCUCAUGGUUGUGAUGAUGAUGAUUAAGCCGAGCGUGGAACCAAUUGCAAUUAGAACCAGAAUUCCUGAGCCAAUAUAUAUUCCUUGUUUGACUAAGUAGCAUUGGCCAUCCAGCCAUCCUUGUCCGUAGGGUUGGUCUCUGCUCAUGCUAGUUGCUGCGCUUAGCAAUGUGACUGCCAUUACAAAGCUGGUCCUGCAACAAUGGUCCAUUUCCAAAAUUCAUUAUCUCAAUCCGCGUUUUCCCAUUCUCAUGUCUUAUUAAUGUUUCUUAAAUUGAGACACUUCCAGCUGAGAGCUGAUCUGUCCAUUUUCUAAGGAACUAUUUUUUUUUUUCAUUUUUUUUGGGGUUUGAAGAAGAAAUAUAGGCCUAAUUGCUGCAGUGUAUCUUGAAAUUAAUGAUCAGAUCUCAUAUGCCUCUCGAAAUUUAAAAUGACUCAAUUUGUACUAUUUACCGAUGUUUUGCUUUUCAUUUUACCCUCCACCAUUAAGUCUGUCAAAAAGUCCGUUAAAAACAUUGACGUGAUAUUAAUGAGACUCAUUGUUGUACCAAAAUAUAUGUCACAUGUUAGCGUUUGCAACGGAUAUUUUGACAGACUUGACGAUGAAGGAUACAGUGAGACGCAAAACAUCAGUCAAGCGUGCAAGGUGGGUUACUUUGAAUUUUCAAGUGGCAAUGUGAAAUUUAACUAUAGUUUGAAGGGGUACUAAAGCAAUUAAGCUAAGAAAUGUGUGGUCUCCCGAAACCCACUCUAGUUUCCAAGUAAAGGUGACCCACAUGGAGAAAUGUCUGAAAACAGGUGGAACUGGUUAUGGCCUUAUCUGGGGUUGGAUAGUUUAUUUUAUCUCAAUUUCUGAAAUUUCAAUCAUGAAGGAUCAAGAGGAGAAAUAGAAACAAAAAUUGUAGCAGGCAGCUAUUUUCUUAUAUUGCGUAUAUGGUAAGAACUUGUCAACCGUAAACCAAAAGGAUAGAUAUUGUGGAGGAGAUUGAAAACCUACCAAGAGAUGCACGCAAGAGCCAUCCAAAUCGUUGGUGUUUUCGCUUUGGAACUGAUACUGAAAUCACUACCACUCUUCUUCUUUCUCUCUCUUGAACAAAAAUAAGUGCAAACUAUCAAAUUCCCCACCAUCUGAGCUGCAAACAAACAUAUCAAGGCUGCAACUCCAAACCCAAAUGCCUGACUUUCUGGCAAAUGACAGAGUCUUCCAAUCACCCUCAGCUCCUCCUCCUACAAAUCAAAUACCACAAUUAAUCAAAAAAUUAAACUAGUAAUUAUUAUUAUUAAGAUCAAAAGUGUGUUUAUAUGUAUGUAUGUAUGUACCUUUGUUUUCUUAAUCUCUGCGGCUAUGCAUGAUAUGAUGGAGACAAGGCCAAGGCAGGCAACUACAAAAAGAAUUAGCACCAACUCAUAUUGGUGUUUCUCCAUGAGAAUUGAGAAGGAUGCUGAGAGCUUGUUGAGAGAAGCUUGAAAUAUAAACAGAUGAGGAGGGGGAGGAGGAGGAGGAGGAGGAGGGGUCUUGGAUUUUACUCAAAGUAUUGAAAAUAUAAUAUUUGGUGGUGGUGAUGGUGGGCUUUUGGGUUUAGGUGUAGACAGUAGGUAGGUACCAGUCUUCUUCCUCUCUAGUUGUUGUUGAGACUUUCUUCU